This 46634-nucleotide long non-coding RNA is filed under the name Malus domestica (apple). RNAcentral describes it as "long non-coding RNA (MDOM_LNC014443)". Lineage: Eukaryota; Viridiplantae; Streptophyta; Magnoliopsida; Rosales; Rosaceae. The record is from RNAcentral.
AUGACAGUUGCAAAAAUGGAUUCUCUGCCUUAUGCAAACUCUAUCACUGCUGGCCUGUUCACAGUAAUCAUCGUGUUCUAUUACUUAUCUCGAAGAUGGAGAGCUUCCAAUCACGAGGGCAAAUUAUCACCACCAGAAGCCAAGGGUGGAUGGCCUAUAUUUGGUCACCUUCAUUUGUUCGGAGGCCCCACACCUCCUCACAUAACUUUGGGAGCCAUGGCGGACAAGUACGGACCCAUUUUCACUAUCCGCCUUGGCGUCCAACCGUCGUUGGUGAUAAGCAGCAGUGAGAUCGCAAAAGAAUGCUACACAACCAAUGACUUGAGCAUACUCGGUCGCCCAAAGAUGGUGGUUGCAGAUCACGUUACCUACAACUAUGCCAUGUUUGCGUUCGGACCACCUGGACCCUAUUGGCGACAAAUUCGCAAGAUCGUUACCUUGGAGUUGCUCUCAGUCCGGAAGGUUGAGCUGCUCAAGCACAUUCGAGUGUCGGAAGUGGCUACUUUCUUAAAAGAAUUGCACGACCAUUGGAGUACAAAGAAAAAGGAGGGCUCGAAAGAUGGAGUGGUUGUAGAGCUAAAGCAAUGGUUUGGGGACAUGAUGCUGAACGUUAUUCUUACAAUGGUGGCUGGAAAGCGGUUUUCGGUGGCUGCCACUGGGGAUGAGAAGAAAGAAGCGCGUAGGGUUCAGACUGCAUUGAGGGAGUUCUUUGAUUAUCUGGGCAUGUUUUUGGUGGGUGAUGCGGUUCCUUAUCUGCGGUGGUUGGAUUGGGGUGGACAUGAGAAGGCAAUGAAGAAAAGUGCAACGGAAAUGCACGCCAUUAUUGCAGAGUGGCUUGAAGAGCAUAAGCAGAGGAGAGCAAAAGGUGUUGCAAAAGGAGAAAAGGACUUCAUAGAUUCGUUGCUUUCUGUGCUUGAUGGUGCGGACCUUGGCAGUUUCGAUGCUGAUACGAUCACCAAAGCCACAAGCGUGGUACGUAUAUAUAAUUCAUUAAUUUUUGCAGGCAAAUAUUUAACCAUAAAAGGCUGGAGUUAGACACUAUUCACAUAAAGAUUUUAUUUUUACUUUUCAAUACUUAUAAGCUAAUUGCAUGGUCUAUAAAAAGAAAAUGAAAACAUUAGACGAUAAUAUUUUUUUUUUUAAAACAAAUUAUGUCCAAUUUUAUAUAUGACUCAUGUGACAUAUUUGUCGGCUCACCAAUGGGUAAUGGUAAAGAGAUUAUCUUCUUAGACUGUAUCUGUAGAUCACAUGAUGUGACGGUUAUUAGAUUCUUUCUUUAAAUCCUUAAUAAUGAAAUCCAACCAUCAAUUGUCAUAUUCUUUGAUUUACAAGAUGUGAUUUAAAAAUAUAAUCACUUUAACAUUUUUGUCGCGUAAAGAAUGUAUAAAUGUUAAUCAAGCAAAUAUUCCUUGGGCAGAAUAUUAUUGCAGGAGGUGGCGACACCACCAUGGUGCCAUUGACGUGGGCAAUAUCAUUAUUGGUGAACAACCCUCAAGUUUUGAAAAAAGCUGUAAAUGAACUGGACACCAAAAUAGGGAAACAAAGAGUUGUGAGUGAGGAAGAUAUAAGCAACUUGGUCUACAUCCAAGCUAUUGUAAAGGAGACGUUACGUUUGUACCCAGUAGGACCAUUAUCAGGGCCGCGUUUAUUCACCGAAGAUUGCACCAUUGCUGGCUACCAUAUCCCAAAGGGCACCCGGUUGAUCCCGAACUUCUGGAAGAUCCAAACUGACCCGAAAAAUUGGCCUGAGCCAUUCGAGUUCAAGCCAGAGAGAUUUCUUACCACACACAAGGAUGUUGAUCUGAAGGGUCGGCAUUUUCAGUUUCUUCCUUUUUCAAGUGGUAGAAGAUCAUGUCCUGGUUUGGCAUUUGGUCUUCAACUGGUGCAAUUUACAUUGGCUAGUUUUCUGCAUGCGUUUGAAAUCUCAAAUCCGUCGAGUGCACCAAUUGAUAUGACAGAGAGUUUUGGAAUAACCAACGUUAAGGCAACUCCACUUAAUGUUCUCAUCAAACCUCGCUUAUCUUUUGAACUUUAUGGAUAAAAGAAGAAAAUACAGAAUAUUAUGUGUACGAUAUGAAUAAGAGAUUUUCGUUGUUAUUAGUUAUGUAUAAUUAUGUGUCCAUCUUUGUAAUCGUAAAAUCAAUAAAUCAAGGCUUUUUAUGUUAGCACCCCACAAAAUGUUGAAUACACUCCACAUUAAAAUUUAAUAUUAAUGACUUAUUUACUCUGCUAUGUAAUAACAAUUUUGACCUUAUUAGGUUUAAAAAAUAAUAAAAAAUUUAUAAAUACACCCCAAAUUACUUUUAACGUAUUAUUUAUCUAUUUCAACUAUCAAAACCCCUCUCAUUCUCCAUUGUUGAAUAAAACCCUAAACAAUGAAACUACAAACAUGUUGAUUGAGAAAAAUAAUUUUUGACGAAUGGAACACAAAAUCGAUGUUUCGAAAGCUUUGAAAUCAUUAUUAUUGUUAUUGAAAAACAUUCAAAUGAACCUAAACAUUUUUUGAAAUCAUUCAGCAAACUAAUGUUUAGAUAGUUUGAAAUCAUUUGGCAAAAUAAAAAAUGAGUGUUAUAAGAUUUGAGAAAUGUGGGGUGUGUGUAGAAAAUAUAAGGUGUAUAUUAAGAAUGUGGGGUGUGAGAGUAUUAUGGGAAAGAAAGUGGAGUGUAUUAACAUAAUUUUUAAUUGAAAAAGUAAAUAUGGGAUAUAUUAAGUAUGUGAGGUUUAUUCAACAAUUUGUGGGGUGCUAAUAUAAUAAGCCUAUAUCAACUGCCAAUGUAAGAUACAAAACCUAGCAAUAAUGGGUGUUUGAGAAUGGGUAUAUUUAGCAAUAAAAAAGUACCCCCAAAAAAGCCUCUAUUUACAUUUUCCAUUGGGCUAUCUUUUGGGUCUGUUGCCUCCGGAUUUUUUUAUUUUCAAUUUGCUUGUAAAGAACCCACCCAUUUGCCAGCACAAACAGGACAAAUUAAAAUAGUCUGUGGAAAUAAAGAUGAGAAUUAAGUGGGAGUAAUGGGCAUAAAGGUUACCUCAAGAUUUACAAUUGUUUUACCAUUUCCUCUAACUUAUUGUCAUCGCUAAAUGGCUGUUAGUAGGGUGAGUUAUAGAGAAGAAACUGGGGCAGCAAGCAAGAACAAAAAGGCUGCAGGUUGCAGCGGCAAAGAUAAGGGAAAAAAAACUGAAAAAAAAAUGGAAAGGUGCAGCUGACGAAAAUGGGAAGGAAGAAAGCAAGGCAGCAAAAAGUUGGACGAGGAAGAGGGAAGCAAUAGAGGAAGGAGGAAAUCUUGGCAUUCUUUUCUUUCGGUUUUAUCUUCUCAAACUCAUGUCUUUCUUUUGGUUUUAUUUGAGAAUUAUGUGUAACUAAUUUUUAGUAGUUAUGGGCUAUUUUGAAGCCCCAAAUAUGAUUGCAAGUUUGUUAUGACAUUUUGUUGAAUUACUUUUAUAAAUUGAAGAAAAUUGGUUUACUACUUGUCUCAUUGAUGAAUUAUUUAUGUGUUUUCUACGGAUGCAUACUUAGUAAGCAUAUCUAGGAUUCUAAUGCUAUGAAUAUGUGUGUACCUGCCAUUGUCGAAUGAGGACCUACAUAUGUUCUAGAAUAGUACUUGUUAAUUGCGUUUAACAUGUGAACCAAUUUCUAGGAUAAGUAAGACAACGCUAAUACUUACGAUACCUUGUGAUGACUUAAACUCUUUUCGUUCUUAAUGAUUUCUACUUGUUAAAUAUAUGAACAUGCCAUUCUAGAUUGCAUGCUAGAGACUAAGUUAAGUUGAAAACGUCAUUCACUUAACAUACUACAUAAGAAAGAGUAAUAACAUACUACAUAAGAAAGAGUAAUAGGUUGAGUUCUAACAUUGAGCCAACUUGAGCAUCUUCAUCCGGAAAUAAAAUGAAUUUGAAUGAAACAUAACAUGUUUGCAUGAUUAUUUUGUGGUGGAUAGCAAUUCCCCUAACUCGUUUUUCUUAAUUUGUGAACUACUUAAAAUUUGUUUAUGUCCUGUUUUUGUUCGAUUUAAUUUUAAAAGAAAAUCAACUCCAAAAAUUUGUGUGAGUGUAGCUCUGUGUGUCUAGUGUCUUCAUAUAAAAUUUCGUAGACUUUAGAUAAGUGUAAGUUGGUCUAAUAAUUAUUUUCCGGUGGCUGGUCAGUAGGGACAGCAGCCCAGUUUUUGUGACAUUUUAAGUAGUUAGAUAAAACAAUCUUCUGCAGGAAAUACUCUUAUUUUCAUAUACUACAAUUGACAAUUCUUAGUUUUAAUAAGGAAAAUCAAUAAGAUAUUUAUGUGCUAUUUUGUGAUGUGCUUUUAAUCCUAUCAGGUACCAUAACAGGAGGGCAGACAAUCUGCCUCCCAAUUCUAGUGUAGAGUUAUUUUUGUAAGAUUAUUUUCAUGGGGGCGAUGAUAUUAAAAUCAUGCACAGAUCACACAGAAGGCAAUCCUAUCUUUACUUGCAAGUUGCAUCGAACAGAUAAGUAAAGGGUCCAAACCAGCCAUGUCAUAAAUAAUCAAGUUCUUCAGAAUAAUCAAGAGUUGUCGAGAAAAAUGUGGGACUGCGCGAUUUAACUAUGCAAUGUGAUAUUCACAUACUUUAUUUUAUUUCUUACACAUUUUUCUAAUUUUUUACUGUCGGAUCGGAUUAAUUGAAGAAGAUCAACAGAUAAAAAUUAACAAAAAAUAUGUGAAAAGUAAUUUGAAAUGUGUGAAUAACAUAUCUCUUAACUAUUUUAUCGUUCUUUACUAAAUUGUAUAUAGACAAGAAAAUAUUAUGGGAUAUAAAUAAUAAGUCUAAAGCCGUGUAGAAAGUAGUCGAAGAAAUAUCACACUUUUCACGAAUCAGCCUGAUGCUCCUUAAUUCAACAUUUGACUAAUGAGUUUAUAAUAUUAAAAAUAGCAAAUUAUAAUAUCAGACAAUGUGGCAUAUGCGGGUUCAUAUGUUAAUUAGUUGAAGUAUAGAUCCUCUUUGGAUCUAAAAAAACAGAGUCUAAGAAUUAAAUGAUCCGGAUCGUUGAAAUUUGAUCUAACUGCUACAAUUAUUAUAACUUUUAGAAUGAUCCUUUGUUUGUAGCCGUUGAAUCAAAUUUCAAAGGCCUGUAUCAUUUAAUUCAACGACCUGAAUCAUUUAAUCCUUAUACUCAGUUUUUUUAAAUCCAGAAAGAAUUUGCACUCAAUUAUUUGAGGGUUCUUUCAGGGAGAUCCAACAACAUGAAAAUUGAAACAAAGGUGUUAGAUUAAGUUGCAGUGUAUCAAGCUAAUGACAGUGUGUGUGAGCGUGACCCACAAGACUCAUUAUUUUAUGAAUUCUGAUCCUCUGCAUGUUUUUUCCCUACCACACUAUUUCGUUGAGGAGAAGUGAUAAGGGGCUCCCUCAUUCGAACCACCAACUCUGUUUUGGUAUACAUUUUCCACGGGAUCAAACGUACGUUAUUGCCUCAAUGCCUCAUGUGGUACCAAGACUAUGGAGAAAAGGAAUUUUUUGAGGCAAAACGAUAAUGGUUUGAUUGGCAUUUUUUUUUUAAAAGUACAAACUUCAAAUAGAGUAUCCUAGAUCAAAUUCGAGAGUGAUCCUUAAAUAAACAGUUCCAAAAAAAAAAUAAGGCCAGCUUGACCAAUCUAAUAGCUACCAUAUCGGCGGAUCUUCGAGUGUGAUAACACAUCUAGCACUCCAAAGUCAAAAAUAAUUUAAUCUCGACAACUAAAAAUUCAAUCACAUCAAAUCUACCUCAUGAGAAACUCUACACACAAAAUUGCUAGCAAAACCAGUAAAGAGCACUGUUUUCAUAUACAAGCAACACCAACUUCAAAGAGGAGCAAAAGAAACAAAUAGUGACCGUUAUAAUAAGAACUCUACACGCAAAACUACCAACGAAGCUAUUAGUUGUACCACGGUAAACCCCAUCAACGCCAUCAUGAGACAUAAAAGAAAGACACAAGCUCAAAAAGGCAAAUUUAACAUGGACGAAAGCCGCACUAUACCUAGACAACCCACACCAUAAAAAUUCAGCCUCAUCUCUUGCCACACCCCCACACUAUCCAAACAACCAUAGAGGGAAGAUUUUGUGAGAAAAAAUGGAUUGAAAAAGGACAAAAAAAUAAGUCACAGAGAACUCAAAUCUAAGCAAGUUUAGAUACAAACUUAAUCACCACAAAAGGGACUAAAAUUAUUAGUAUGUCAUCAAUGUGUGAUAAAAAAUUACUUGGUAGCUUCGCUACAACAGUCUACUUUUUAGGGAUAAAAAAGACUCACAGAUGCAUUUCAACCUCUCAUUUACUAUUAUCGUGUGAUACACAUGCGUUAAGAAUCUAACUCAAAACAUACCGUGUAAGAUAUAUGAGUAUAAAAUUUGUUUUCAAUCAGUAGGUCAUCCCUUAGCGUGGGGGCAAUGAUAUUUUUUCAGUAGGUCAUCCCUUACUGGAAUUGUCCCCAAUGUAUAAAAAUCACGAGCGCUAGACCAAUUCCAAUGUAUAGAUUUUUUUUGUAAGGUUAUUUUCGUGGGGGCAUACGUCACACAGAAGACAAUCCCAUCUUACUUGCAUGUUGCAACGAACAGAUAAGUAAAGGGUCCAAACCGGCAUGUCAUAAAAUAAUAAAUCUUCAAAAUAAUGAAAAUUCGUUAAACGUCUAGAAAAACGGGGGAUUGAGCAGUUUUACUAUUUUGUCAUCCUCAAUUAAAUUGUCCUUUUUAAGAGUUAUGAAAAGGAAAGGGUAUUUUUAAGGGAAGAGGAUCCUCUCCUGAGCUCAGGAUGGGGAUCCUCCUGAUCAGGUUAUUCGGACUGUUUAAAUUUAAUCCAACGAUUCUAAACAGGAGGGUCUUCUAAAAGUUAUAAUAAUUGCGAUCGUUGAAUUAAAUUUGAACGGUCUGGUUGGCCUGGUUAGAAGAAUCCUCAUCCUGAGCUCAGGAGAGGAUACCGAUUGCCAAACUGAUUAAGGUCGAUGCAGUUUGGUUUAGCCACCGUAAAUUAAAAAAAAAAAAAAAAAAAAAACCAAACCAGGCUUUAGGUGGGAUUCAAGCGGUUUAGUCGGUUUUUUUUUUUUUUUUAAAUGCCCAGCCCUAUGUUCUACAUAGAACCCAACAUAAUUUUUUUCUCUUAAUAAUUAAGAUCCAUAUAAGCAAAUUCAUCAAUUAUACUUUACUUUACAGAUUUUACAUUUUUCGAAUUCUUAAAAUAUUCAUAUUGCAUGUUUGAUUUACACAAUUAAUUAUACGUGGGUUCUUAGGUUUGAUUCUUACUAAAGGUAAAUUUAAACCUCAUUAUUACUAACUCAUUGUGAGACUUAGCUCACUCUCCAUCCCUUUAAUAUAGAUAAUAUCAUUUGUUAAAAAAAAAUAACAAUCUAUCUUUUACCUUUUAGUUAGUCAUAAUUUUUUCAUUUCUCCUCUCAACUGGAGAUCAAGAGUUAUGUAUUUCAAUACAACCAUACGUAAUAAUCGGACCCUUACUCCUAUAUAUACGUGUGUGUAUGACAAGGCGAUAAAUCAACUUAAGCCUUUACCCAGUUCGGUAAAAAGCAUUUUGCGUCUAGCUUUCUCAUGAUAGUUGCAAAAAUGGAUUCUCUCCCUUAUGCAAACUCUAUCACUGCUGGCCUGUUCACAGUAAUCAUCGUGUUCUAUUACUUAUCUCGAAGAUGGAGAGCUGCCAAUCACAAGGGCAAAUUAUCACCACCAGAAGUCAAGGGUGGAUGGCCUAUAUUUGGUCACCUUCAUUUGUUAGGAGGCUCCACACCUCCUCACAUAACUUUGGGAGCCAUGGCGGACAAGUACGGACCCAUUUUCACUAUCCGCCUUGGCGUCCAACCGUCGUUGGUGAUAAGCAGCAGUGAGAUCGCAAAAGAAUGCUACACAACCAAUGACUUGAGCAUACUCUCUCGCCCAAAGAUGGUGGUUGUAGAUCACGUUAGCUACAACUAUGCCAUGUUUGCGUUCGGACCACCUGGACCCUAUUGGCGAGAAAUUCGCAAGAUCGUUACCUUGGAAUUGCUCUCAGUCCGGAAGGUUGAGCUGCUCAAGCACAUUCGAGUGUCGGAAGUAGCUACUUUCUUAAAAGAAUUGCACGAACUUUGGAGUACAAAGAAAAAGGAGGGCUCGAAAGAUGGAGUGGUUGUAGAGCUAAAGCAAUGGUUUGCGGACAUGAUGCUGAACGUUAUUCUUACAAUGGUGGCUGGAAAGCGGUUUUCGGUGGCUGCUGCUGGGGAUGAGAAGAAAGAAGCGCGUAGGGUUCAGACUGCAUUGAGGGAGUUAUUUGAUUAUCUGGGCAUGUUUUUGGUGGGUGAUGCGGUUCCUUAUCUGCGGUGGUUGGAUUGGGGUGGACAUGAGAAGGCAAUGAAGAAAAGUGCAACGGAAAUGCACGCCAUUAUUGCAGAGUGGGUUGUAGAGCAUAAGCAGAGGAGAGCAAAAGGUGAUGCAAAAGGAGAACAGGACUUCAUAGAUGCGUUGCUUUCUGUGCUUAAUGGUGCAGACCUUGGCAGUUUUGAUGCUGAUACGAUCACCCAAGCCACAAGCUUGGUACGUAUAUAUAAUUUAUUAAAUUUGCAGGCAAAUAAUUAACCAUAAAAGGCUGGAGGUAGACACUAAACACAUCAAGAUUUUAUUUUUACUUUUCAAUACUUAUAAGCUAGUUGCAUGGUCUAUAAAAAGAAAAUGAAAACAUUAGGCAAUAAUUUUUUUUUUUUUGAAAACAUAUGUCCACUUUUAUACAUGACUCAUCCGACAUAUUUGUCUGCUCAUCAAUGGAUGAUGGUAGAGAAAUUAUCUUGUUAGAUUGUAUCUGUAGAGCAUAUGAUGUGACGGUUGAUGGUUAGAUUCUUUUUUUAAAUCUUUAAGAAUGAAAUUCAACUAUUAUUGCAGGAGGUACUGUUACAUUCUUUGAUUUACAAGAUGUAAUUUAAAAAGAUAAUCUCUUUAACAUUUUCGUCAAGAAUGUGUAAAUGUUAAUCAAGCAAAUAUUCCUUGGGCAGGCUAUUAUUGCAGGAGGUGCCGAUACCACCACGGUGGCAGUGACGUGGGCAAUAUCGUUAUUGCUGAACAACCCUCACGUUAUGAAAAAAGCUCUAAACGAACUGGACACCAAAAUAGGCAGACAAAGAGUUGUGAGUGAUGAAGAUAUAAGCAACUUGGUCUACAUCCAAGCUAUUGUAAAGGAGACGUUACGUUUGUACCCAGGAGGACCAUUAUCAGGGCCGCGUAUAUUCACCGAAGAUUGCACCAUUGCUGGCUACCAUAUUCGAAAGGGCACCCGGUUCAUCCCAAACUUCUGGAAGAUCCAAACUGACCCGCAAAAUUGGCCUGAGCCAUUCGAGUUCAAGCCAGAGAGAUUUCUUACCACACACAAGGAUGUUGAUCUGAAGGGUCAGCAUUUUCAGUUUCUUCCUUUUUCAAGUGGUAGAAGAGCAUGCCCUGGUUUGGCAUUUGGUCUUCAACUGGUGCAAUUUACAUUGGCUAGUUUUCUGCAUGCGUUUGAAAUCUCAAACCCGUCGAGUGCACCAAUUGAUAUGACAGAGAGUUUUGGAAUGACCAACCUUAAAGCAGCUCCGCUCAAUGUUCUCAUUAAACCUCGUUUAUCUUCUAAACUCUAUGGAUAAAAGAAAAAAAUAUAGAAUAUUAUGUGUGCAAUAUGAAUAAGAGGUCUUCGUUGUUAUUAGUUAUGUAUAAUUAUGUGUCCAUCUUUGUAAUAGUAAAAUCAAUAAAUCAACUGCCAAUGCAAGAUACAAAACCUAGCAACAAUGAGUGUUUGAGAAUUGGCAUAUUUAGCAAUAUAAAGGUACCCCAAAAAAGCCUCUAUUUACAUUUUCAAUUGGGCUAUCUUUUGGGUCUGUUGCCUCCGGAUAUUUUUGUUUUUCAAUUUGUUUGUAAAGAACCCACCCAUUUGCCAGUACACAAACAGGACAAAUUAAAAUAGUCCAUCUGCGAUUAUUAUCACAAAGCUAAUUUUGAUUAGGUUUUUCUUAUUAUUGAUUGAAAAACCAAGAGAUUUUCAUUACAUUAAGAGCUGGUUUGGUAUUACUGUGCUUUGAAAAAAAACUGCUUCUGCUGUGUUGUGAGAAUAAGCGGAUGUGAAAUAAAGCUGUAGAGUGUUUGGUAAACUUUUUUGUAAAAAUGCUUUUGAAAAAAAAAAACAGUAUUAUAGUGUUUGAUAAACUUUUAUGUAAAAUAGAUGUGAAAAAAAAGCUGGGUUUUCAAAGCUGGGUUUUGCAGCUUCUUGUUUUUGGUUUUUUUUCACCCAAAACUGUGAAAAAAAGCUGAAGCUGAAUGUUUACCAAACACAAAAAAGCUCCCAACUUUUUUUCAUACCAGCUUUUUUUUAAUCACCUCAAUCCCAAACUGCACCUAACUUGGGUCUAAACUGCUCUGAAGUGCAAAAUUUGCAUUGCAAUGAUAAGUUUACUGCUUACAUCACUUUGCAUAUCAGUAAUGUGAUAUCAAAAUGUGAUAUUUCUAGCAUUAUUUGUAGGGCAAAAAAGAAAUCCAAGAAAACCGCAUUCGAUCCGAAAAAUUUAAGCCAAACCUGAAAAUUCCAAAUUAUUUGGUUAUUGAAACCAAACAAUUCUUAAAACUUCGGUAUAAAAAUUUAUAUGUACUAAAGCUCAGCAGAUUAGCAUUGUUCACCAUGUGAGAGCGAGCACUGUUCACCAGCCGUUAAAAGGGAGGAAAUGCCCACGGUUUUUGCUUUGGUUCCUAUACUGUUUACACUUUGCUACAGGAAAAAGUUAGUUUUGUCCUUCCCGGCCUUGCGUCUGUUAUCAGCAAGCGAAUCAGGUUCGUCUCUCGCUCUCUCUCUCUCACAUUUUUUUUUUCAAAUUGGGACGUGCUGUCUUCUCCUUUUCCAUCUCCAUCUCUGCGCAACUUGCCAAAUCUCUCCUGGGAACCUUCCACCGCAUCGUUUUUGUAAUUUUGGCUUGAUCUGGAUGGCUUCAGAUCUCUGAAGCCAUUAUCUGUGAUGACACGUGGAAGACUGGGAUGAGAAGGAGAGAAGAGAAAGGAGUAAAAUGAGCAAUGGCUCCGGCCAAUGAGGGAGAAAGGAAACAAAGGAAAGGAGGGAAAGGAGAAGAAGAGAACCGGCCAACCCGGUUUCUCCACCCGACCCGCCAACUUGACCCGCUCAUAUCUCCUCCAUACGAACUCUGUUUUGGGUGAUCUUGAUGUCCAUGGAAAGCCCUUGAUGAGCCAUACAUCUAUGUAGUGUUAGAUUUCCCAAUUUCUUUCCCAUUUUUCUACUUCGAAGCCACAAAGCCCACGACUUUUUUGGCAACUUUAAUCUUUUUCCAGUGGCUCCGCGCGAGCUUCACCGUCAAUGACCACCACCAAAAGACUCCUCUCAACCCCAGGAGCAAGGCCCAAGCCUUUGAUGAGGUGACGAAGUUUGUUUUGGUGACGAAUCGACAACUACCCAAAUCGAGGGUUUCCGGUGGGUUUGAGUCAAUUUGGAGCCUUUUCCAGCCAAAUUAGACUUGACCACAGGUAUAAAGUUUGCUCUACUCUUUAAGAUCUUUAUUUAUAUAAAAUUUGAGAAUUUUUUAAAAUAGUUGAAAUUUUCCGGCUAGUCGGGGCGGCUGACCACCCCACAUGGCGACGAGUGGCCAGAAGGCCGUUGCUGUUAUUUUUAGGCUAAAUUAGAUGCCUUGAUUUCAGUUUUGAUAUUCGUAUGAUGUAGAUUGAUCGUUUGAACCUAAAUUCACUAUGAUACCUUACUUGAUCAAAAUAAUGAAUCGACGAUCCGACCGUUGGAUCGUCACCAAACUUUGAGACCUUAUCGUAUGUAAUAUUUGAGGACCUUAGGAGUUUACAGAUCGGGAAUCCAUCAUACUAAUCUUCCCGAAUUGGAUUUUCAAGUUUAUAAAAUAAAACGUUGACCACCACUUGAUUUCAUGAUUGGCGGAGAUCCGACCGUUGGAUUGGAAUGAAAUUUUAGUAUGUUGUUCUAGAAGCGUAAGGUGAACUACGCGGAACCUUUUACAACUAUUAACACAAUCUUCUCGAAGCAAUGAUAACCCGCACAUAAUCAACCUAACAUAAUCCAGGAUAGAAAUUAUAAAUACAAACCAAAUUCCUUUGUAUCCAUCAUGACAGCUAUUUCAGUUAGCUUUUGGAUCUCAAGAAAAUGAAAACCAGAUAUUACUCUACUUAUGAGAAAUAUCAGUGUCUCAGGCCGGAUGAUGAUGCUGUAACAACUCUAAGUAGUUUUCAAUACUUUGAUAUCUGCAAGUUUUGUUAAUAGUAAGCACAUUAGGUGAAAAUGAAAAUGAAAACAAGGAAAAUGAAAACUUUCCUUGUUGCAAAUCACUUUACGCAACAUGUCACCCGUUGGCAACAUUUUUUUCAUGCUAUGACCAAGAUUGGACUUCAAGUUAGUGAGUCUUAAACCAGUCCAAAACUGCACUAAACCUUUAGGAACAACCUAUCAAGAAAACUAAUAAUUUGAACAAGCUUUAGAAUCAGUUCUGCUUCAGGCUACACGAUUAUAUCACAUAUUGUCCGGUGGUAGUACAUUUAAGAAAGUCAACUAAGCAAAUAACAGCCUGUAGCUAAACGUUUCAUAUCUUUGAUCAGUGACCCCUAUGCAAGCUCAUUGAUAGCAUUUAAAAAUGAUCCAGUCAAGAAAAGUAUACAAAUUAGCUAAUGAUUUUGUAGAUACCUGUGCAGCGUUGUUAAAUUCAGGUAAAGGAUUCCCAUUAUUAUAUGUUGCUUUGACAAGUUCAUCGAAAAUGUAGCCAUAUAGUACGUCACUCUUCUCCAGUUUUUUGUUCAGACCUUCCACAUGGUUUCGAUGAUGGCCUCCCCAAUGAACUUCCAAUAUUCUCUGACUCAUAUACGGCUCCAAAGCAUCCUGAAAACAGAAACAUUACAUUUCAGUCAAGGAAGAUCAUAUGCAUAUUGCAAGCAUAAUAUAAUUACAUGUAUGUAUCAUCACGUGACAAGAAUAAGCAGCUCGAAACAGAAUAGUAAUCUCUACACAAUAAGAUUUACAACACGAGAUGGAUAACUUCAUAGAAUCAAAUGCUACACCACAAGAACUUCAGAAACCAAACAAUCAAAUUACUAAAGUAUUGCAAAUCCCAUCAGGUAAUAAGAAACCACAAAACUUCUCUUGGUGCACCUAAUGUGACAAUAGAAGCUGACUUGGCCAACCCGAUUUCAUGUCCUUAAAAUUGGUUUAAGGAGAAACUAGUUUACUUACAAGAAUAUAAGGAGGUUUCUUCAAUCCAUAGUAAGCACAAACUAACCCCAACUUUUGGCCUUGAACGGCUACAAUGAUUCCAGUCUCUUAAACUGUAACAACAACUAUUAACAUACAUAGAGAGUAAUUCUUAAACCUUGAAAUUUAGCCCAUUUCCUAAUAAUUUAUCCCAAAUAAAAACCUGAUUCAAUCCCCAUUUCAAAAUUAAAACCCUAAUUCCCAUUCACAAUUUUUCAAACCCUGAAAUCCAUCCCAUGCCCUAGUAAUUUAUCCCAAAUUAAAACCCUAAAUUCUAAAAUUCAUCUCAAUUCACGAUCAAAAUCCUUAAUUUCACAAUUCCAUAAUUUGUAAUUAGACUUACUUUCGAGAUAGACGAGCACGACGAAGGGGGUGGUGACUGCCUGUCGUUUGGAACGAAAGGGAGAGAGACAACCGAUAGUGGGUUCGAGAUUGGGGCAAUUUAGGGUUCGAGCGAAGAGGAGGAAGCCUACGGGAGAGAGGGUAUGAUGAGCGAAGAGGAGGAAGGCUACGAAAGAGAGAGACCGAGUGAGAGAGAGAGAAAGAGAGAAGGGGUCUGGGAAGAGGAGGAGGGCGUGAAAAGCAAAGGGGUCUUGGAAGAUUUUGUCCAAAAUUAUCAAAACUGGCGCUUAUUUUUUACACUUGUGCCAAAAUAUUCAAAACUGGCGCGACAUAGGUAUACAAUUCGACGUCGCGCAAAGUGUUUUUGCGCGACGACAACAUAAAGGCGUCGGUAUUUUUUAUAUAAAAAAAUUAUUAUAAAAAUAACUGAAAAUGUGACUUUACUCAUUUUAAAUUUAAUUAUUUUUACAUAAAACUCAUAAUAAUAUAUUUUUUAACAAAAACCUGACUAAUAAAUUGGUAGCUACUUAAUAAAUAUACAUAUCAUUCAAUUUCUUAAGUAUUAUACGUAAAAAAUAAAUAAAUUUAAAUCUACUUGAUAAAUAUAUAUACCAUUGAACUUGAUGCGAUACCACAUUGUACGUAACUAAUUUAAAUGAUCUAACCGUCAAACUUGUUUGUAUAUUGAUGCGUGAAAUAAGUUAACACACAAAUUAACCCUCUUUUUGACAAUUGUAGUAUAGAUGUAAGUAGGGUAUCGUUCUAGGCCGGGGAUUAGGAGGGAUUGCUAAUCUAUUCUAAAUUAAUUUAAAAAUAUUAAACAAGACUCAAGGACACAAAACUAGGCUAAAAACUCUAAUAACUCGAAACACACUUAGAAUGACUCAAAAUAAUGAAAACAAUCAAAUUAGACACUAGGAACUGAAAUGGACGGAAAUUGAAUUAAAAGACUAACAACAAUGAAAACUAACUAAAUAAUAUAAUUUAAUAAUGGGGGGGUUUGGUUUUUACGAGAAGUAAAUUAAACUUAAAUAAAUUACAGAAUUGACAAAAGCAUGAAAUUAAGGUGAAAGGAUAGGUGACGGACUAGCUAGAGGGUUCUUCUCCACACAUGACACAAAUGCAACCUAAAUUGAUUUUCAGUUGUUCUUUCAAUAAAUUGUAAAUCUCAACGCCCCAAAUUAACCGUGAAUUGCACUAAUUAACCCUCAGUUUUUCCACAAGUUAUUAGGUUGGAUGAUUGCAUACGACAACCCAAAACAUUCCCUACAAGUUCCCUACAUGAAUUGCAUAAUAGAGAUACAAGCAAGAAUCAUUAAGUUCUAUGAAAAACAUAAGCAUUGACGAGGCACUCGUUACUAUGAUUUGCAUGAAACUUAUGCCAAGAAUUUACUUAACGUGAUUGGGACUAGCAACCUUCACUACUUGUGAAUAUAAGUUCAUAACGAUUAGGUGAAACUCCCUUAUAUUCUAGCGUCAAAUUCAUGCAUGUAAAUUAAGUAUGCAUUCUUAAUCGACAUACAAAAAUAAGCUAUCAAUCAAGCAGUUAAGCAAAUUAAAUCACAACUCAGAAAUCACAACUGAAGGUAAUCAAUUCAUAUUACAAAUAUAUUCAUGGCUUUGAAUUAACCUCUAGCCAAAAUAAAAUUAGUUACAUAUUAUUAAAACAGAAAUAAAAUAUAAGUUUGGAAAGAUUUAACCAAAAAAAAUAGAGUGAAGCUCCUUCUCUGUCUCUCUGUGCUCCCCCUGUCUCUGCCUUCCGCGCCUUCAGUUUUCUUCUUUUCUCCUGCGUCAGUCUGUCCUCCCCCCGCCCCAGUCCUUGCUGCUGUCACUCUCUGACUCUUUUUUUUUAUUUUCUGUCUGUUUCGUUUCUCUUGGUCUCCGCCCCGCCCCUGCUAGUCGGUCUCCCCUAUUUUUCUAUUCUCCUUCCCUCCUAUCUGCCGCGCCUCCUGGCCUCAUCUUAUUCUUCUUUCAUUUUUUUAUUCCUUCUUUUUUCUUUUUCUUGUCUGCCAUGCCUCAUUCCUUUUAUCAUUUUCUGUUUUUCUUUCCUCCACCAUUCCUUUCUUUAUGUUUCUUUUAUUCCUCCAUCAUUCCAUGUCUCCCCUUUUAUUUAUUUUCUUAUUCUUCUUUCUCCACACAAUCCGCAAGUCUCUCCCUUUCCUCUUUUAUUAUUCAAUUUCUUGAUAGUCCACUUCCUUCCUUUGUUUAAUGACGUGCUGCAUUCUGUCUUUUCUCUAUUCUUUUCUGCCCAUUUUGUUUGAAAUUAAUCCUACAACAAAAUUAACUGUACAUUAACACGAGGUAAGGUAAAAUGCCACAAUUUUGACACAAAAACAUCCAAAGACUUUAGAAAUGAAUGGUAUAAAUGCAUGAAAUAUAUGAGUGAUCAUAUAUGCUUCAAGAUUGCAUACACCAAAAAUGGCAAAAAACAAACCUUCAUAGUGAUAGUAACGAGACAAAACUUUUCGACAGCUAUAAACGAAAAAAUCACGAUUUAACGGUUAUUUUAACUCCAAUUUUGAUGAUUUUGUACAACUACACUCUUGGAUCUUAUAUGAAUACAAGGAACUGAUUCGAUCAUCAAUUUAAAACAUUUACAUAAGUGGAUACCACAAAAUCUUAUGUUAUACUUGAUGAAAGUAUAAAUAAAAUAUAAGUGUUAGGAAAUCUAUUGUUUUAAUGGGAUACGCAUUGUACAAAACAAGUUUCAAUGAUCCAACUGUCAAACUUGUUUGUAUAUGCUUCAAGAUCACAUACUCCAAAAAUGAAAAAAAAACAAACCUUCAGAGAUCAAGUAACGGGACAAAUCUUUUCGACGGUUAUAAACAAAAAAAUCACUAUUUAACGGUUAUUUUAACUCCGAUUUUGAUGAUUUUUUACAACUACACUUUUGGAUCCUAUAUGAAUACAAGGAACUGAUUCGAUCGUCAAUUUAAAACAUUUACAAAAGUGGAUACCACAAAAUCUUAUGUUAUACUUGAUGAAAGUAUAAAUAAAAUAUAAGUGUUAGGGAAUCUAUUGUUUUAAUGGGAUACGCAUUAUACAAAACAAGUUUCAACGAUCCAACCGUCAAACUUGUUUGUAUAUGCUUCAAGAUCACAUACGCCAAAAAUGGAAGAAAAAAAAAACCUUCAGAGAUCAAGUAAUGGGACAAAUCUUUUCGACGGUUAUAAACGAAAAAAUCACGAUUUAACGGUUAUUUUAACUCUGAUUUUGAUGAUUUUUUACAACUACACUCUUGGAUCCUAUAUGAAUACAAGGAACUGAUUCGAUCAUCAAUUUAAAACAUUUACACAAGUGGAUACCACAAAAUCUUAUGUUAUACUUGAUGAAAGUAUAAAUAAAAUAUAAGUGUUAGGAAAUCUAUUGUUUUAAUGGGAUACGCAUUGUACAAAUCAAGUUUCAAUGAUCCAACCGUCAAACUUGUUUGUAUAUGCUUCAAGAUCGUAUACGCCAAAAAUGGCAAAAAACAAACCUUCAGAGAUGAAGUAACGGGACAAAUCUUUUCAACGGUUAUAAACAAAAUAUCACGAUUUAACGGUUAUUGUAACUCCGAUUUUAAUGAUUUUUUACAGCUACACUCCUGGAUCCUAUAUGAAUACAAGGAACUAGUUCGAUCGUCAAUUUAAAACAUUUACACAAGUGGAUACCACAAAAUCUUAUGUUAUACUUGAUGAAAGUAUAAAUAAAAUAUGUGUUAGAGAAUCUAUCGUUUUAAUGGGAUACACAUUGUACGAAACUAGUUUCAACGAUCCAACCGUCAAAUUUGUUUGUAUAUGCUUUGAGAUCGUAUACGCCAAAAAUAGUAAAAAACAAACCUUCAGAGAUUAGGUAACGGGACAAAACUUUUCGACGGUUAUAAACGAAAAAAUCAAGAUUUAACGGUUAUUUUAACUCAAAUUUUGAUUAUUUUUUACAGCUACACUCCUGGAUCCUAUAUGAAUACAAGGAUCUGAUUCGAUCAUCAAUUUAAAACAUUUACACAAGUGGAUACCACAAAAUCUUAUGUUAUACUUGAUGAAAGUAAAAAUAAAAUAUAAGUGUUAGGAAAUCUAUUGUUUUAAUGGGAUACGCAUUGUACAAAACAAGUUUCAAUGAUCCAACUGUCAAACUUGUUUGUAUAUGCUUCAAGAUCGCAUACUCCAAAAAUGAAAAAAAAAAACAAACCUUCAGAGAUCAAGUAACGAGACAAAUCUUUUCGACAGUUAUAAACAAAAAAAUCACUAUUUAACGGUUAUUUUAACUCCGAUUUUGAUGAUUUUUUACAACUACACUUUUGGAUCUUAUAUGAAUACAAGGAACUGAUUCGAUCGUCAAUUUAAAACAUUUACACAAGUGGAUACCACAAAAGAAACAGGCAAUGCAAGAACCCCAAUAGAAAAGCAAAAGGAAAAUAAAAAAACUUUGCGCAACGGAGGUACAACCGUCGCACAAAGUUUUUUUUUUUUUUUUUUUUUUGUUCCUAUGUUCCACAGUUUUAGCUUCUUGUAUAUCUCUUCCACUCCUGCCUUAAAAUUAUUGUUUAAGGACCUAUAUGAUGAGACCACGUAUUCAAAAUCGUAAAGGGUAGAGACUACACCUAAAAUGAUUACUAACCACGUAAUAGAAUAGUGGUUUGACAAAAAUAUAAACUAGCUUUUUCUCUAAAUCUCUAACAUUCUAGUUUCCUUCUCCCAAUUUAGUGAGAAAUGAAAUCAUUUUUUAGCACACAUCAAUCUAUCCCUAAAUUGGAUCAAGUUAACUGAGCAGCUUGCAGUUUCUUAGCUUUUGUUUCCCUAAACCUAUCAAAAUCCUUCAUACUCCUAGUCAUUCAUUCUACUCAUUCAAUUGUUCAAAACCAAAACUCAACUUGUUAAAAAUAAGCAUUGACAAAGAUAAUUAAAGAAAAACAUAAAUACACAAAAAUAAAAAAAUCCGAACAUAAAUGUAAUCAAUAAAUAGUUAAUUAAUUAAUCAAAUAAAUACAAUACUUGAAGGUGAAGAUGGUGAAGGUUGAGAGAGAUGGAGAGUCUGAAAGAGAGAGGUUGAGUGUGAAGAAAAAGGCCAUUGUGUGUGGUUAUUUUAGAAAAAAAAAUCGUCGACUUUGCGCAACGCUUCAUACGUUGCGCAAAACAGCAUUGCGCGACGUAGGUUCAAUUACGUCGCGCAAAGUUGUUUUGCGCGACGUAGGUGCACAUGUGUCACGCAAAGAUGGGAUGGGUUGGCGCCAAAAUUUUACGUGCGCAAGUUUCCGUCGCGCAAACAUGUUUUUGUACUAGUGAUUGUCAGUUUUUCAAGAGAUCCUCGUAAGGACUCCAUGUUCAGGGUAUUACUGGCCCUGUUUUCAUGUAGAACCUCACACUCAGACACAUCAAGUGUUUUCAAGGAAGAAAGAUGAGUAGGCAAGUCUCCUAUCAGCUUCGGACACUCUCUUAAUAUCAGCUCCUGAAGACGAGGGAAGUCUGGACUUUCACCACCACUUGGACUAGGCUGCCAUUCCUCCACUCUGGCAUCUCCCGAAACUCUAGCUUCUCUAAACAUUGAAAUGGUUGAUUUCCCCCGUACAACUCACCACCAGCCGGCAUGUCAUAAAAUAAUAAAUCUUCAAAAUAAUCAAAAUUCGUUAAACGUCAGUUUUACUAUUCAAACCGGCAUGCUGCAACGAACAGUUAAGUAAAGGGUCCAAAACGGCAUGUCAUAAAAUAAUAAGGGUCCAAAACGGCAUGUCAUAAAAUAAUAAGGGUCCAAACCGGCAUGUCAUAAAAUAAUAAAUCUUCAAAAUAAUCAAAAUUCGUUAAACGUCUAGUAAAACGGGGGAUUGAGCACUUUUACUAUUUUGUCAUCCUCAAUUAAAUUGUCUUUUUUAAGAAUUGUGAAAAGGAAAGGGUAUUUUUAAGUGAAGAGGAUCAUCUUCUGAGUUCAGGAUGGGAAUCCUCCUGAUCUGAUCAGGUUAUCCGGAUCAUUCAAAUUUAAUUCAACGGUUGUAAUUAUUAUAACUUUUAGAGGACCCUCCUAUUUAGAACCAUUGGAUUAAAUUUGAACGGUCCGGAUGACCUAGUCAAGAGGAUCCCCAUCUUGAGCUCAGGAGGAUCCUCUUCCAUUUUUAAAUUUACACAUAUUAAUUAUGAUUCAAAAAUAAAAUUAAAUAUAUGUUUGGUUAACCGCACCCUAAAAAUUUUGAGAACCGAUUGCCAAACUGAUUGAGAUCGGUACGGUUUGGUUUAGCCAUCGAAAAUUAAAUAUAAAAAAACCAAACCUAGCUUCGGGUGGGAUUCAAACCGAUUGCCAAACGUUAUUUCCCUUUGUCACAUGUCGACUCUCGAUGUAUGUUGGGAUCCGGGCGUUACACAAACUUAAUCACCACAAAAGGGACUAAAAUGAUUAGUAUGUCAUCAAUGUGUGAUAAAAAAUUACUUUGUAGCUUCGCCACAACAGUCUACCUUUUGAGGAUCGAAAAGACUCACAGAGGCAUUUCAACCUCUCAUUGACCAUUAUCGUGUGAUACACACGCGUUAAGAAUUUAACCCAAAACAAACUGUGUAUAAUAUAUGAGUAUGAAAUUCGUUUUCAAUCAGUAGGUCAUCCCUUAGCGUGAGGGCAAUGAUAUUUUUUUCAAUAGGUCAUCCCAUACUGGAAUUGUCCCCAAUGUGUAAAAAUCACGAGCGUUAGACCAAUUCCAGCGUAUAGUUGUUUAUUUGUAAGGUUAUUUUCGUGGGGGCAAUGAUAUUAAAAUUAUGCACACAUCACACAGAAGACAAUCCCAUCUUACUUGCAUGUUGCAACGAACAGAUAAGUAAAGGGUCCAAACCGGCAUGUCAUAAAAUAAUAAAUCUUCAAAAUAAUCAAAAUUCGUUAAACGUCUAACAAAACGGGGGAUUGAGGAGUUUUAAUAUUUUGUCUUUUUUAAGAGUUAUGAAAAGGAAAGGGUAUUUUUAAGGGAAGAGGAUCCUUUCAUGAGUUCAGGAUGGAAAUCCUCCUGAUCUGAUAGGAUCAUCUGGACCGUUCAAAUUUAAUCAAACGGUUGUAAUUAUUAUAACUUUUAGAGGACCCUCUUAUUUAAAACCGUUGGAUUAAAUUUGAAUGGUCCGGAUGACUUGAUCAAGAGGAUCCCCAUCCUGAACUCAGGAGGAUCCUCUUCCAUUUUUAAAUUUACACGUAUUAAUUAUGAUUCAAAAAUAAAAUUAAAUAUAUGCGGGUCGGUUUGGUUAACCGCACCCUAAAAAUUUUGAGAAUCGAUUGCCAAACCGAUUAAGAUCGGUACGGUUUGGUUUAGCCAUCGAAAAUUAAAAAAAAAAAAAAAACAACCCAAGCUUCGGGUGGGAUUCAAGCAGUUUAGUCGGUUUUUUUUUUAAAUGCCCAGCCGUAUGUUCUACGUAGAACCCAACGUAAUUUUUUUAUCUAAAUAAUUAAGAUCCCCGUAAGCAAAUUCAUCAAUUAUACUUUACUUUAUAGAUUUUACAUUUUUCGAAUUCUUAAAAAUAUUCCUAUUACAUGUUUGAUGUAAACAAUUAAUUCUAUAUGGGUUCUUAGCUUUGAUGAUCGCUAAAGGUAAAUUUGAACCCCAUUAUUACUAACACAUUGUGAGACUUAGUCCACUCUCCAUCCUUUCAAUGUAGAUAAUAUCAUUUGUUAAAAAAAAAACAAUAUAUCUUUUACCUUUUAGUUAGUCAUAAUUUUUUCAUUUCUCCCCUCAACUCGGAGAUAAAGAGUUAUGUAUUUCAAUACAACCAUACGUAAUAAUCAAGCCCUUACUUCUAUAUAUACGUGUGUGUAUGACAAGGUGAUAAAUCAACUUAAGCCUUUUCCCAGUUCAGCAAAAAUCAUUUUGCCUCAAGCUUCUAAUGACAGUUGCAAAAAUGGAUUCUCUGCCUUAUGCAAACUCUAUCACUGCUGGCCUGUUCACAGUAAUCAUCGUGUUCUAUUACUUAUCUCGAAGAUGGAGAGCUUCCAAUCACGAGGGCAAAUUAUCACCACCAGAAGCCAAGGGUGGAUGGCCUAUAUUUGGUCACCUUCAUUUGUUCGGAGGCCCCACACCUCCUCACAUAACUUUGGGAGCCAUGGCGGACAAGUACGGACCCAUUUUCACUAUCCGCCUUGGCGUCCAACCGUCGUUGGUGAUAAGCAGCAGUGAGAUCGCAAAAGAAUGCUACACAACCAAUGACUUGAGCAUACUCGGUCGCCCAAAGAUGGUGGUUGCAGAUCACGUUACCUACAACUAUGCCAUGUUUGCGUUCGGACCACCUGGACCCUAUUGGCGACAAAUUCGCAAGAUCGUUACCUUGGAGUUGCUCUCAGUCCGGAAGGUUGAGCUGCUCAAGCACAUUCGAGUGUCGGAAGUGGCUACUUUCUUAAAAGAAUUGCACGACCAUUGGAGUACAAAGAAAAAGGAGGGCUCGAAAGAUGGAGUGGUUGUAGAGCUAAAGCAAUGGUUUGGGGACAUGAUGCUGAACGUUAUUCUUACAAUGGUGGCUGGAAAGCGGUUUUCGGUGGCUGCCACUGGGGGGAUGAGAGAAAAGAAGCGCGUAGGGUUCAGACUGCAUUGAGGGAGUUCUUUGAUUAUCUGGGCAUGUUUUUGGUGGGUGAUGCGGUUCCUUAUCUGCGGUGGUUGGAUUGGGGUGGACAUGAGAAGGCAAUGAAGAAAAGUGCAACGGAAAUGCACGCCAUUAUUGCAGAGUGGCUUGAAGAGCAUAAGCAGAGGAGAGCAAAAGGUGAUGCAAAAGGAGAAAAGGACUUCAUAGAUUCGUUGCUUUCUGUGCUUGAUGGUGCGGACCUUGGCAGUUUCGAUGCUGAUACGAUCACCAAAGCCACAAGCGUGGUACGUAUAUAUAAUUUAUUAAAUUUGCAGGCAAAUAAUUAACCAUAAAAGGCUGGAGUUAGACACUAUACACAUAAAGAUUUUAUUUUUACUUUUCAAUACUUAUAAGCUAAUUGCAUAGUCUAUAAAAAGAAAAUGAAAACAUUAGACGAUAAUAUUUUUUUUUUUUAAAAACAAAUUAUGUCCAAUUUUAUAUAUGACUCAUGUGACAUAUUUGUCGGCUCACCAAUGGGUGAUGGUAAAGAGAUUAUCUUCUUAGACUGUAUAUGUAGAAUACAUGAUGUAGCGAUUGUUAGAUUCUUUCUUUAAAUCUUUAAUAAUGAAAUCCAACCAUCAAUUAUCAUAUUCUUUGAUUUACAAGAUGUGAUUUAAAAAUAUAAUCACUAACAUUUUCGUCGCCUAAAGAACGUAUAAAUGUUAAUCAAGCAAAUAUUCCUUGGGCAGAAUAUUAUUGCAGGAGGUGGCGACACCACCAUGGUGCCAUUGACGUGGGCAAUAUCAUUAUUGGUGAACAACCCUCAAGUUUUGAAAAAAGCUGUAAACGAACUGGACACCAAAAUAGGCAAACAAAGAGUUGUGAGUGAGGAAGAUAUAAGCAACUUGGUCUACAUCCAAGCUAUUGUAAAGGAGACGUUACGUUUGUACCCAGUAGGACCAUUAUCAGGGCCGCGUUUAUUCACCGAAGAUUGCACCAUUGCUGGCUACCAUAUCCCAAAGGGCACCCGGUUGAUCCCGAACUUCUGGAAGAUCCAAACUGACCCGAAAAAUUGGCCUGAGCCAUUCGAGUUCAAGCCAGAGAGAUUUCUUACCACACACAAGGAUGUUGAUCUGAAGGGUCGGCAUUUUCAGUUUCUUCCUUUUUCAAGUGGUAGAAGAUCAUGUCCUGGUUUGGCAUUUGGUCUUCAACUGGUGCAAUUUACAUUGGCUAGUUUUCUGCAUGCGUUUGAAAUCUCAAACCCGUCGAGUGCACCAAUUGAUAUGACAGAGAGUUUUGGAAUAACCAACGUUAAGGCAACUCCACUCAAUGUUCUCAUCAAACCUCGUUUAUCUUCUGAACUUUAUAAAUAAAAGAAGAAAAUACAGAAUAUUAUGUGUACGAUAUGAAUAAGAGAUUUUCGUUGUUAUUAGUUAUGUAUAAUUAUGUGUCCAUCUUUGUAAUCGUAAAAUCAAUAAAUCAACUGCCAAUGUAAGAUACAAAACCUAGCAAUAAUGGGUGUUUGAGAAUGGGUAUAUUUAGCAAUAAAAAAGUACCCCAAAAAAGCCUCUAUUUACAUUUUCAAUUGGGCUAUCUUUUGGGUCUGUUGCCUCCGGAUUUUUUGAUUUUCAAUUUGUUUGUAAAGAACCCACCCAUUUGCCAGCAUAAACAGGACAAAUUAAAAUAGUCUGAAGUGCAAAAUUUGCAUAGCAAUGACAUGUUUACUGCUUAAAUCACUUUGCAUAUCAGUAAUGUGAUAUUUCUAGCAUUAUUUGUAGGGCAGAAAAGAAAUCCAAGUAAACCGAAUUCGAUCCGAAAAAUUUAGGCCCAACUUGAGAAAAGCCAAACCUGAAAAUUCCAAAUUAUUUGUUAUCGAAACCAGUGUUCUAAAAAUCGGCCUAGGCGGCCGCCUAGGCACUGGGCGGAGGUGUGCCGAGGCGAUUAGGUCCGAAUCGUUAAGAAAAAUCGGGGAGCUGUUAGGCGCCCGCCUAGGCGUUCUUAGGCGGCCUGGGCGGUCUAGGCGGCUAUCUAGGCGGAGUGAAACGAUUUCCUGGGAAGAAAUUCCAAACAGAAAUCGAAAAUCACAAACUCAAAUUUAAACUUGAAAUUAACAUGCAGAGCAUGGGUUAAGCUACCUGAGUUUCUAACGGGACUAACUCGAGCUCAUGGGACCCCAAGUUCGACGGGUCCCUCGCCGGAGCUCCACGCCAGAAGCUCAAUUUUCAAAGGUUGUAGUUCGAUUCCAUUAGAGCAACUCUCACCGAGAGAACCCCUGCUUGGAUUCUCCUACUUUCCAUUAAAUCAAAACAGGAAUGGCACCAGUCAAUGAGGGAGAAAGGAAACGAGGGAAAGGAGGGAGAGGAGAAGAAGAGAACCGGUCAAUCCAGUUUUUCCACCCGACCCGCCAACUUGACCCACUCAUAUCUCUUCCAUACGAACUCCGUUUUGGGUGAUCUUGGUGUCCAUGGAAAGCCCUUGACGAGCCCUACAUCUCUGUAGUGUUAGAUUUCCCAAUUUGUUUCCCAUUUUUCUAGUUCGAAGCCACAAAGCCCAUGGCUUUUUCGAUGGAUUUAAUCUUUUUUCGGUGGCUCCGGCAAGCUUCACCAUCGAUGACCACCACCAAAAGACUCCUCUCAACCCUAGGAGCAACGCCCAAGCCUUUGAUGAGGUGACGAAGUUCGUUUUGGUGACGAAUCGACAACUACCCAAAUAGGGUUUCUGGCGGGUUCGAGUCAAUUUGGAGCAUUUUCCAGCCAAAUUGGACUUGACCACAGGUAAAAGUUUGUUUUACUCUUUGAGAUCUUCAUUUAUAUAAAAUUUGAGAAUUUUUGGAAAUAGUUGAAAUUUUCCGGCGAGUCUGGAUGGCUGACCGCCACCCAUGGCAGUGAGUGGCCAGAGGGUCGUUGAUGCUAAUUUUAGGCUAAAUUAGAUACCUUGAUUUCAGUUUUGAUAUUCGUAUGAUGUAGGUUGAUCGUUUGAACCUAAAUUCACUACGAUACCUUACUUGAUCAAAAUAAUGAAUCGACGAUCCGACCGUUAGAUUGUCACUAAACUUUGAGACCUUAUCGUAUGUAAUAUUUCAGGACCUUAGGAUUUUAAAGAUCGGGAAUCCAACGUACGAAUCUUCCCGAAUUGGAUUUUCAAGUUUAUAAAAUAAAACGUUGACUGCCACGUGAUUUCAUGAUUGGCGGAGAUCCGACCGUUGGAUCGGAAUGAAAUUUUAGUAUGUUGUUCUAGAAGCGUAAGGUGAACUACGAAUGGCUUGAUCCCUUCGUUUAGUGUAUGUUGGCAGUCUAACUAGGAUGUUAGAUGCAGCCAUAAAUUAAACAAAAUGAUUAUUUUUUUUAGUGUAGUUAGUUAGAAUUAUAAUUAACCAUUAUUUUAUUGUGGCCUACCUGUGUGUUUGGCUUCCGAAUUAGAAAUUUCGGGUCGUUACAAUGAGGGUACAAUUCGGAAUGGGGAUAUGCAGGUAUAUAUUGAUUUCAUAUCUGUUGUAUUGGUUGAAGCUUUAUUAACGGUACUAGAGUUGUUAAAUUUGUCCACCAUAUAUAUUCAAUAAAUUAUGUCCCAAUGUUGUUGUUGCUGUUACUCAAUAAUGGGGUUUCUUAAGGUAGACUGUUAUCAAGUUCGAAUUUUCUAAUUUUCUUUCUACAAAUUAUUUUGUGUUUUAGGAACUGUAGUUGUAUAAUUUUAAGUGACUGAAAAUUGGAUUUGGUGAUUCUCUGUUUUUUUUUCUUUUAUUAUUUUUAUUAAUUGCCAUAUACAACUUUUGUGUAGGUUUAUGUUGCUGUAAUUUUGCAUUGCCUAUUGAAUAACACAUUAUAAUCUUCCAAUAAAUGGAGUCUUUGUCACUUAUACAUCAUAUAUUGCAAUCAAAUAAGGUGAAUUCUAAAAUAAUGGAGUCUUAGGCUCUUAAUGCAGAUAACAUUGUUUGUUCAAAAUAAGUACGAAGGUGAAUUCCAAAAUUAAAAGGAAACCCACAAUUUCUUACAAAAUUAUAAUAAACGCAUCUCUGUUAAUAGGUGUUGACGCUGUAUCACAAAAAGUCUUAUUGCAGUAAGCAAAUCAUUUGUUAUAUUAUUUUAUUAUACUUUAUGUUCUUGGUACAUAAAAGUUGAGAGAGGGAGAGAUGAGGCACUCUUACCUAGGCUAAGAGCAACUUCACCACCGUUGCUUAUUACCUUGGGGAAAUACCCAACUACUCCACUUCCUUAAAACACUCCACCCUACUCGAGCAAUUGGGCUCAAGGCGAGCUCGAUGGAUUAGUCAGACAAUAAUCAUUUGGCCCAGUGUCCUGUUUAUAUGAUGCAAGGCUGGCAUCAUUCACAAUUUAAUUUAGGAAAUUGUUAUUGGCACUCCAAAUUUCUCAUUUUACACUCUAAAUUUUUUAUAUUUAGAAAGAAAAAUACAUUUGUGAUGAGUGUAGAAUGAGAUUUUUGUAGUGUCAAUAACACUUCCCUUUAAUUUAUUAAAAAUCAUUAUAAAAUAUUAAAAAAACUAAUUACAAAUAUAAAAAAUUAGAAUUUUUUCUAUAAAUACCUAUCCACGUUCUUUCACUUUACACUACAUUUCAACAUUUUCAAAUACAUUCACCAGUUUUUUAUUAUUAUUAUCCUAAAUUAAAAAUAAUAUUAUCUUUCAUUAUUUUAUAAAACAAAAAAUACUAAUAUUUUAAUACGAAUUGCCUAGGCUAUUCAGUUUAGGGGUGGAGAUGCACUUAGGCAAUUAUUUUCACUGCCGACAGUUACUAUUCAUUUAAGGGGAUUGAGUUGCCUGUUGCCCAAAAGGGGCCUUACUACACUGGAACUACUCUAAGGUAUACCACAAGCCUCAUUGAGGAUUUAGACAGGAGUCCUAAUUCCUUUUUUUAGUUUUUACAUAUUGCUCAUCAAGAGGGAUUGUCGGCAUCGAAACUCGAAUUUAGACCUUUAUAUUAUUUACUCAUGUUGACUAGUUUAUUAUACUUUAGUAAUAGGCUAAAUAGCUAAAAUGGUCCCUGAUUUGCAUAAUCAAUAGAAAUGGUCAUUGUGAUUGUCCACCAUCCAUGAUUCUUUUGGGCAAUUUUCAAAACUUCGUAACUCAAUUAAUUCUAAACCAAAUUCGAUCCAUAAUAUAUCAAAAUGAAGAUAGGAAAGUGUAAAACAAGAUUAUACCUAUUUGGAAGCCCAAUGGUUGCCGGAUAUAACCCGAAAAUAGCCUGAAAGGUGGCUGGUCCGCGGAAAAACUGACAACUCGCCGUAAACUGUGUAAACUUUAAACGUUCAUAACUUCUUCAAUACUCAACGAAAUCGAGUGAUUCUGUUUGGGCUCGAUUUUACAAUAUCGGCUCGAGCCAUCAAGGUCGUUGAAUGAGUAGGUUCUAGGCCGUUGGAUUUCUUAUUUUUCUAGAUAUUACUAUUGGAUUAUUAUAGUAAUUAUCUUAUAAAAUAUAUUUUUGGAAGCAAAGGAGAUCAAUUUCAGUUUGAAUUGCUACACUUACAUGAUUGGUUUGAGAGCUAACGUGGCAAGUUAAAAGAUUAUCUUCCCUGCAUUUAUGCAAAUACAAUGGGGUAAAAGAUGAGAUCAUAUUGGUCAAGGUUAGUUGGCGUGGAUAAAAAUGAUCUGAUGACCUUCUUUGGUUGGUCAACGAGGUGAAAUAGGUGAUCAGGAAAUCAAUGCAUGCGUUGGAUAAAGAUUACGAUGUUGAUGGAAUUACGAUAAGGGAAAAGUAAAAAUGGUGAUGUGCUUGAAAGAUGACUUUACACGUGGUGGUGAUAAAAGAUGGCAGUAAUUAUCUUGUUGAGUAGGCUAAAUGAUUUAGCAUAUUGGUAUAGACUUUUGCGUUAUGAGCCAGCAUGUGGUUGAUGGAUAUUUGGGAUAAUUCAAGAGGUUUAGUCUCGGUUGGUUUCUAGGAAAUCACCAAGGCCACGGGAUCAAUUUGGGAUAAUUUGAGAAGUUUAAGUCUCGGUUGAUUUCUAAGGUUAAGGGAUCAUGCAUACUUGAGAGAAUAUUCCCAUUAUUGACGACGACAAUCCUAGUGUUCUGCUAUUAUAAAUACAAGGGGUCAUCAUUCUAAAGGUCCCUUUCAAUUCAACACACAACUACCCUGCGCAAAUUCUCUCAACAACCUUGAGACUUUUUCCUUUUCUAUUUUCGCUGACACACCUUCAGUUUGGAUAAACAGCACUGUGAAGGCAACCGGUAGUAUCUUCAAUCGGCAUACAUAACACUGUCACUGUAGAAUCAGCCGACCUCACAGCAUCUUCAGUUUGGAUAAACAGCAUUGCGUCGAGGGCGACUGGUUAUCUAUCCAAGUCUUGAUCGAGAAGGAUUUCCGAGUCCUUGUUGGUUGAGGUCAUCUCAUCAGCCUUCUCGGCGAAGUGAGGUGUUAUAGUUUAUUGGGCUCGGCACACUACACGCCGAGUUAUUUUAUGAUUGGAUACUCACAAGUGGGAUUUAAAGUUUGGCAUUCAAACGGCCGAACCACGUUUACUGUUAAGACUUAUAUUUGCUUUGAGUAUUUAUGCCCUUACACUUUGGUGUCGAUUCAGCGUGAGUUUACUCUGACGAAUAUUAUCACUGUGACCGAAUUCGACGACAACGAUUUGUGAACUUCGUAAGAAUAGUAGCCUUGUCUUCAGGUUCGAGAACCCAAGAGGCCGAGACGUGUUCCUUCCUCGGUCGCAAUAGCAAGACGCAAAAGUCGACCGCAUACCCAACGCAACGUCAACAAAUUUUACUCAUUGGCCGAGCUCGGUCGACGAGUUGGCACGCCCCGCACACAACCGAAGGACGUAGUUAGCUCAUAGAUUACUUAGCCUGCGUGCCACGUAGGCUUGGUAGUUUUUAGGGUCAACAUUUUGGCACGUCCAGUGGGACCUAGUGCUAAUACUACGAAGUUCAUAUGAUAUAUCAAGAUUCCAAUCUCGUUCAAUGCAGCUGAUUGUGCGAGCUCUUAGAGGAAUUGAAAAAACACAAUGAGGAACGUAAAAAAUCUUAGGAAGUGGAAAAAGUUCUUCGUGGCCAUAGAGAGAUGCAAAAGUCAUUCGCUUACAUGUUGAGAAUAAACGCUCAUGUUACCCUGCAUGAGCAAAGGGUACAUGAAGACAGGGCUCGAUUUAAUGCCUGGCUAGAUGGAGAACAUUUUCCUUACGUUUUCGACUACUUAUCAAUUCCAUUUGAGGAAUGGUUGGUUGAAAAUACCGGGGGGUAAUUUUUCGCUCCGGCCGUAAUCAAACAUCGGCCUAAGAAAAUUGUUAAUUUGGCCAAAGAACAAAGGCCACCUAUUUUUUCGGUCGAGGCUGAAAAUAUGGUCGGCCAAGACAAAAAACCUAGGCCACCUAUUUUUUCGGUCGAUAUUGAAAGUGUGGUAGGCCUAGAAGGAAAAAUUCAAGUUUAUGAGCCACAAAUCGACUCAGAAAAUGAUUCGACUGAACAGUGCUCCAAUGAUGAACAAGGCUGAGACAUAGGCCUAGUCGGAAAAACCACGACAAUUGAUAUGAUUAUUGGUGAUAAAGCCGAUAUGGAGAAAUCUCAUUCGGUUAAAUUGUUUAAGUUAAAAGUUGAAAUUGGCAAAAUUAUUAUGCCCGGGGGGCGUAGUAAUUGUUCAAUACAUUCAGUAGUCGAUGAUAAAAAAUAUUUCACUAAGUCAAAAGUAUUUGGAGAUGAUUCUUUAUUCGGCCUAGAGCAAAAUCAAUUUCAAAAUUUUGUUAUUACAAGAUCUCGGCUUGGAAUAAAGCAUCGUUGGCCUUCUCCUGACUAUGGUUCGGCUACUUUUAUUUCCAUUUAAAAAAAAUAAAAAAGAAUAAAUUAUUUUCUUAAUCAUCUGGCUAAUUAAGUCGAUGCAUAAGAAAAUAAGGGGGCAACAACACUGCAACAAUCCAAAUAUAUAUAUAUAUAUAUAUAUUAGUUGGCCGAGGAAGUAAUCCAAAUUUGCUAAGAAGACGUGAUAUUGCAGCAUGUAUUUCAUUGUGUGUUUUCUGACGGUCGAGAGUCGGAAAAAAAAAAAACACUUUCAGCCUUUUAGGCCGAGGAUAAGCAAGAAGCAUAAGGGAUUUCAAAGGCCAAGAGUCGGGAAGAAAAUUCAGUGGAAUUGGAUUUCGGUGGGUCUGCACGGCCUUGGAUCUCACUGAGGUGAGGUUUACUGUUAAGACUUAUAUUCGCUUUGAGUAUUUGUGCCCUUACACUUUGGUGUCGAUUUGGCGUGAGUUUACUCUGACAAAUACUAUCACUGUGACCGAAUCCAACGACGACGAUUUGUGAACUUCGUAAGAAUAGUAGCCUUGUCUUCAAGUUCGAGAACCCAAGAAGCCGAGAUGUAUUCCUUCCUCGGUUGCAAUCACAAGACGCAGAAGUCGGCCGCGCACCUAACGCAACGUCAACAAAUUUUACUCCUCGGCCGAGCUCGGCCAAUGAGUUGGCACGCCCCACACACAACUGAAGGACUUAGUUAGCUCAUAUAUUACUCGGCCUACGCGCCAUGUAGGCUUAGUAGUUUUUAGGGUCAACAGAUUCAAAAACGAAAAAAUCAUACUUCUUGACGAGACGAAGAUAAUGGUACUUUUCUUGACCGCUAACUCGUCGUGGUUUGGCAGGAAAAAAGCUCGAAAGUGCCACUUUCGAGCCCUUUUUUUAUUUUUUAUUUCUCAGGUGAUUAAUACAAAAAAUAAGUGAGGAAUUUUGACAUGCAUCAAANAAGCAUAAAAAUUACUUUUGUCGAAUUUACUUUUUCUCAUAAGCUUAAGAACUACUGCUUACAUAACUCAUAAGAACUUUUAAUUCUUUCUUGGGGUAAAAGUGAAACGACAUAGGUCAUUAAGGAUUAAGCGAGUCGAAUCAGUCUUUAGAACUCGGUCGUCGAUUUGCUUCAACAGCCUACCUUCCCCCGCUGGGAGCGAUUGUGAUUUUUCAAAAUUUGAAGUCCUCAGAAAAGAAUUCAAUUCCAUUGGGUUGAGUGUCAUUGUCCUCAUCGUCGGCAUAUUCGAUGGCUUUGUGGGUAGUGUGUACGUGACCAUGAGUUUUGGUUAAGCAUGCCCUCCAUAUUUGAUUUUCAAUUCCUACACAAAUAGAAGUAUGCAACAAUCAGGUACGCAUUUACAUCAAUGAAUAAUAGAGGGGAGAAGAACAAGGUAGGGAUGGGAUGGAUCUUGACCCACAUGGAAUUGAUGUGUGAUUCUAUAGGAAUUGUGACCAACCAAAUGUUUAGGUUUAUUUUUUUUUCCCAAAUCUUUUCAUUUGAAGGAGAAAAUAUGUGUCCUUUGUCAUAUAUAAAAUAUAUAUGCCCUACCAGUCACCUAGUUGAUCAUUUGGGUAAUCAAAUUAUCUGUAUUAAAUUGUGGAGCACUUCCUUCUAAUACAGGUAAUACCCAUUAAUCUAAUCUAAUUGAUACAUUACAUUACAAAUUUUGUUUUUUUUAAAUGUGAUUAGUUGGUAGCUUCACUAUGACAGUUCACCUUUUUUAGGGCCGAAAAGACUCACAGAAAUAUUUCAGACUCUCCAUAGGCACUUCAUCAGCUCUAGAAAUCGAAUACAAUACGUAUUAUGUAGAAUACGAGCCAGAUACCAUUUCUUUAAUUAAAAACAAAUAUUGGUUUAAAAAAUCAAGGUUUUGGUCCAAUGUGCAUUUUCAGCACUCAACCAAAAGCAAAACACUUCACGAAUCAUGGCCAUGAGAUGUGCCCUUUUGACAAAAAAUUAAUAAGUAAUUAAUUUGGCUUUGACAACCCCAAUUAUCCCCUAGAUAAUACCAUUUUAUAAUCCUAAUGAUUAAAAUAUUGAAUCAAAGGUUUCACAUGGUGGUUAGUCGCUAUCGAAUAAAUCUAAUUGAUGCUACAACACAACAAGUUGUCCCACUCCACAUGAUGCUUCAUCCGUGUAAUCCAUAUAUAAACCAAUCUUUCCAAUACCUAAUUAAACCCCGUAUUUAAUUAUAUUAUCAUCCCAGAAUCAUGUGUACAUUUUUAUGUUUAUAUAUAUUGGAAAAUAUAUUUUUAUUUAUUUAAUUCUCUAAUCAAUGAAUUUGAGCAAGAUGCAUAUGGUCAUGGUUUGCUGAAAGCAUAUAGAAUAUCAUCAAGGUGACAAAUUAAUCCACAGAACAUAUUUUGAAUGAUGAAACUUGUAGUAAAAAUCACUCUCUAUUUUUUAUUUUAAACCUUAUGUUUUCAAAAAUGUGUCCAUUUUUUCUUCUUCUAUGUAAGCUAAUUGGAAUUAAUUUCAACUGCGGAUCCAAAAAUUAUACUCAUGAGGUCUUGGUGUAUAUAAGAUUUAUGUCUAGUUAGAGCAUUGAGGCAUUUUGUCAAGCAUUUUAGUUGCAUGUAAACAUUUGUCAAGCCAUGUGCUAGGCGAUCGAUAUAUGGAGAGCCAUGUUGCAUCUAUCAAGCAAUGUUGUUGAAGCUUGCCAAGCAUCAUUACCGAGAUCUGUCGAGCAUGCAUAUCAUCAAAACAUUAGUAGGAAAGGGACCUACCAAUCCAUUCUCCUAUCUUUCGGGGGUCUUGGGACCUGAUGGCCCUUUAAUGGUGUAGAGAGCUACUUCCGUAUUCGAGACCAGAAUAUCGUCUCUCGUUUUCACCUCCUUUGCAAUGAAGAAAAAAACUCAAAAAAGGAACUAGAUUUCCCACAAUUAGCCUGCCAGCUGAAGCAACGUGACUGAAUUACUUAAGCUUGAAUUAACCCAAUAUCAAGCUAAGAGAGUUAACCGCACUUUCAAUACACUUCCAACCCCUAUACCAAUAAUAUUGUUCAACCCAUUAAUUAAAUUUCAUUGCCUCUACCAACCAACAGUCCAGAAAACCAGCUGAAAACUUAUGUGUUUGCCAAUAUGUUAGUUGCCCUCUACCCAUCUCCCAUCUUCCAUCUUCCCAUGAUUCAAGCAAGGGCAACCUUCUCUAUCUUUAUUUCUUCUUUAUUCAAGUUUCUGUUAGAGGUCGCACUUGGUGUGAUGGCAAGUGCCUCGCCCAUGAGCGGUAGUCUCGGGUUCGAGACUUGGGAGCAGCCUCUCCAUAAAUGGGGUAAGGCUAGCCGACAUUCACCUCUCCCAGACCCUGCUAAAGCGGGAGAGCCUUGUGCACUGGGUAGACCUUUUUUUAUUCAAGUUCUGUUACAUUUUCAUUUGUCUUCCCAACGGCAACGAAAGGGGAUUGACAUAGCUUGAGAGACCUAAUUGUUUUUCUUGAUCAAACUGAAACCCCAAACUGGCAUUGUCAUAAAUUUCACCAAAUGAAACUAUUAGCUAAUAUCUUGUAUUUAGCUCCGGAAUCCGAUCCAUUUGAAUAUUACAAAUGCAUACGAUACGUCAAUUACUUCCAAAUGGAAUACAUAUAACGAGAGCCACUAUGUUAUCUAUUUAUCAGUCACAAUUGCAUAACUAGACGGCUUUUGAUUUAAGUGAGUUUUUUUAUACUUUAAUCAUAACCUAGAAAAUGAUCGUUCAGUUAUAAAAAUAUUGUACAAUAAACAUAUAUUAAUGAUUAGAACGUCGUAAAUUACUUACUGGUUGACUUGAACGGUCUAUAUUUUAAUAUGAACAAAGAGAUAUCCAACAAAUUGGUCAAUUUUGGAGCGAGGAUCCCUGUGAUUCUCAAAUCACAUCCGUUCAUCAUACAUCGUAUGGUCAAAAAUCAUUGUAAAUUUUUUAUUUAAAAUUGAAUAUAAAUAGUAGUUAUGAAAACUGAUCGACGAUAUACGAUAAAUUGAUGUAAAAUUCCCAAAUCUUCCCAAAGAGAUCCGGCAAAUCCUCUCUCAUUUCCUUGCCAUAAGAUAUUGCAUUUGGUGGCAAUGAAAAAUACUAGCACGCAUAAUCAUAUACAAGUAAACCAAAUGUUUAAUUAGAUAUUUGCAAGUACAAUCUACAUGUUCGAUUUGAGUACAAGACAACUUUGCCUAACAAGAAAAAAAUACAAGGUGAAGAGACAAGAAGACUCAUAUGAUGACUAGGGUUUCGAUUAAUUUUGGUUAAUAAGUCAAAAAAAUUUGGCAAAGAACGGUAGUUGCCCAAGUCUAAUCCUUUGGAAUACAAAUGAGCAUACUCAAACUACACAAAAACAUAAACUUGUUUUAAAUGUUAAAUUAGGUUAUGUCUUGUCAUUGGGCUAUUUACAUUAUUAGUGACAUGAAAAGUUGUCAACUCAAAAAUGAUCAAAUGUAAAGCAAAUAACAUUUAUUAGUGACAUAUAACAUUUUAGUUAAAAAAGAGCCAUGUCAAGUAAAAGUUACUCAACAGAAUAGAAAGUUAGAUUUGAUUCAACCAUUCCAUUAUACAUACACAACUCGUUAAACUCACCGUCACUUAGUCCUAUAUAAAUUUACGUAAGAAUAAUUCUCACUGAAGAUUACUUUAAGAUCAUCUUCAAUAUAGAUGUCAAUUUAAUUUUAUACCAUGUGGAGAUAAAUUUUUCCAGGAGCUUGAGAAGAAAUGUGCGGUGUACAUGCGACGCGAUGUGUACGGCACCAUGGGACGCGACGGAUUGCCGGUGAAGGAGAAAGUGCUGCUAGGGCUCGCGCUGGUGACUCUGGUUCCGAUACGGGUGGUUCUAACGACGACGGUGUUGGUGCUGACGACGACGGUGUUGGUGCUGUACUACUUGAUUUGCCGGAUUUGCACUCUCUUCAAAGUCCCCAAUCACGAUGAGCAGGAGCAGGAGGAUUACGCGCACAUGGGAGGAUGGCGGCGGGCGGUGAUUGUCCAGUGCGGCCGCGCCUUAUCCAGAGUAAUGCUCGUUGUCUUCGGCUUCUAUUGGAUCAGCGAAACCCAUCGAAUAUCAUCGGAUUCUGACCCCAAACCCGCCGCCCAGGUACUCUCUCUCAUCGUUUCUCUCUCUAAAGCAUGAAAAUUGAUUUCGUGAGAUUUUGAGCAGUGAAUUUUGAUGUUAAAUUUUUGGUUAGGGAAAAGAUGGGGCCGAAGAGAAGGAGCCUGAAAGGGCAGGGGCGAUUAUAUCGAAUCACGUUUCGUAUUUGGAUAUCUUGUAUCACAUGUCUAAUUCGUUUCCGAGCUUCGCUGCCAAGGUUUGCCACUCUCUUCACUUGUUCUUACUAAUUUUAUGGCACCGGAUGUGAAUUUUGAUUGAAAGAUGUUCCAUUUUUAUCUAUCUCGACCUAUUAUCUAUGUAUUGAUUCCCAUUUUUUGUUAUCCUGGAUUUUGUUGGUGAAGAGAUCGGUGGCGAAAGUUAGUAGUGUUAGACCGGGUCGUUAGUUUGUUUGAAGUCUUGUAUUUGGUUUCAAAGACUUCUCUCUUCGGAGUUGGAUAGGCUUAGGACUUUAUGUAAAUAGGGUUUUCAAACCCUGAAUGUAAUCUAUAUAUUGGCUAUAAAUAUACGCAACCCAAGUCUUUCUGGGUAUGCAAAGUUGAUGUGAAGCAACCCUCUUGUCAAAUAUACAAAACCUGCAGUCUCUUUUCAAAGACUGUUUCAUUUGCUUUCGCUUCCUUUAAUUUCAUUAUGUUUCUGAAAAUCUGUAGUUUAUCUGUCACCAUAGUAUUCCGUCAAUUCAUUUUCGGAUUGUUAGUUUUGACAGCAAGUGCCUGGGUUGUGUCUAUAUUCAGCGGGAGUUUUGUAAACACUCGUAAUGUGUUCACCGUAACUCGUGUGUUAUUGGAGGUAUCUAAGUUGAAAACUAUGAUCGAUCACAAGCGGAUUAUAUAACGAGUUUUCGGUUGGCUCCAGAGAGGAAGUAGCUGAACACCGAUUAUCCAAGAGGGUUCGAGUCAGAUUGUUGCUUACGGGAGGAGGUAAGAGCUCAGAACUAAUGGGAGAUUUCUCCAUGGCAUUGGCUUUUGCACUCUAAAAUGGAGGAAAGCUCGGGAGGACGGAUACAUCUAGCACAAGUUCAAUGCUUUAAAUGAAGUUUAUAAAAUUAACGAUUUAAGUUUUUAUGAUGAAAAUACAUUAUUCAAAAAAGGUGAAAUAUGUUCAUUACCCUGUGUGAAGAACGCGAGUAUGGAAGGAUUCUACUAUAAAAAAUAAGGGUGGGCAUAAAAAUCAUGGAACCGUGAAACCGAAUCGAACCACAACAAAAGAGACCAUAAAAUACAGUGUUGACAAAAAAAAAUAAUAAAUAAGUCAACUUAGGUUAUAGAACCGGACUGAAUCGUUCAUACCAAUUUCGAUUCUAGUUUUCACCUUAGAAGAACCGGCCAAACCAAAAUGAACGGCGAUUUUAAAUAAUUAAUCAAAAUUUAUUAGUUGUAUACAAGCGUCAUUAGAUAAGUGGUAAAAAACAAAUUGGUUUCACGUACUGCAACUGCACUUAAUCAUUUCUCAAUUAGGUUUUGUGUUCUUUCUUUUGAUCGAAUCGUCAUUCCUUAGUGCCUCGCUCGUUUGAUCCUCCUCCUCCAGUCCUUCCUCUCAUGAUAUUGGAAUCAAUUGUAGCAAUGCAAAUGGGCAUUCAAGGCCAGAUAAUUUAUUCCCUUCUGUGAUUUUUAUAUGGCAUUUGACUUGGUCUUGUACGUUGUGCUCUCAAAAAUUUAAUCAUGCCAUCAUGACGUAUUUCAACCAGUUACCACUUCUUGGUUCUUGGUUUUCUUACAAAGUCGGACUCAUAUUCGUUAUUUGGGCUGCAAGUAAUAAAUGCCCAAGUCUCCUCUGGAUCUCCCAAAAAAAAUAUCUAUCGUUAAAAGGAUAAACUCUAGACUAAUAAUACCAUAACUUUAACUAUUUAAUUAUUGAAUCAAUUGAUACUUUUAACAAUAAAUUAAAAAGGUGUUUCAAAGUUUUGACCUUGAGUAAGGACUUACUGAUCACUACUUUUUUCGUUAUUGAUACCAGCGUUUGUUUAUACAUUUUGUGUGUAUGAAUAUUUUUUUUAAAUGAGAAGGAGAGAGAGAGAGGUUUUUGUUUUUGGUUUUAUUUUUUAUUUAUUUUAAAUAUUACAAAUACUUUAACAUAACCUGUGAGGUUUCAAUAAAAACAGUAAAAUUUAGACCUAUGAAAUUACAUUAUUGCUCAUUAUUUAUUUUUUUUUAUGAUAGAAGACUAAAUAGUAUUUUCACCCUCUUUUGAUUGACAAAGGGAGUUAUAUUAACUAAUAGAAAUGCAGUAAUGAUAACUCGUCCUCCUUCAAAGUAACAUGGUGCGAAUUGGUCGACGAGCGGGUUAGGGGUGGCUGUCGAGAUGAUGGGGUGAUUGACUUUUUGUGAGUUUAUUUGUAUUUCUUUAAUUUUUAUUAUAAGAAAAGGAUAAAUUGCAUUUUGCACCCUUAAAUUUUAGUGAGAUUGCAUCAUCAUAUAAUAACUUUAAAAUAUUUCAAUCUCAUAUAUUUACUUAUCAUUUAUUUCAAUUUUAAACGUUCGUUAAAAAAUCUAUUAAGUUAACAGUUAAGUGAUGAUGUGGCAAAUAUAGAGUCCUUGAAAAGAAGACAAAAGGAAAAAAAAAGAAUAAAGCUUUAGUUAACGUUCCAUUAAAAGAUAGGCUUUUUAAUCAAAAUAGUCCUUGAGAUUUGCAUAACACAUCACUUUGGUCCAUAAGAUUUGAAAUCAAUAGAAGUGGUCCUUGAGAUUGUCCACUAUCAAUCAUUUUGGUUCUUAUGUGCAAAAUUAUGUUAAAUAAGGAUCAAAAUGAUAAAUAUACCUUCAAUUUAAUAAACAAUGGGCCAAAAUGAUUUGACAAAAUUAAGAGUAUUUUUUCAUUAUAUUCUUAUUUAAUGAAGAUUUUUAAAAAAAUGACCAAAAUGAUUGAUGAUGGACAAACUCAAGGACCAAUUCUAUUGAUUUCAAAUCUCAAUGAUCAAAGUAAGGAGUAAGGAGUUAUUAAAUCUCAGUAACCAUUUUAGAUAAAAAGCCUAAAAAAUAUCUAAUGGCUGAGCAUGUGAAUCCUCAUUUUUUACCUUCACCUGAAGAACCUAAAUAUUAUAAGAUUUAAUUUAAUUCAAGUCCAAUUUGAGAGUCAAUAUUAAGAAUAGUCCAUUUCUCGUGAUCUUUGACAUAAGUUCAUUCCACGUCAUCUAUUAUAUAUAAAGAGAGAAGAAAAGGUGAAUAGUAUUUUGGUGUCACCAAGCUUCAACAAAAGAAAGGGACAAAAAUGCCCCAUAAACAAAAAACUUCAAAGGCAUCCCAAAAUAAUGCAUCAAAUAAGGUAGGGGCAUUUUUGUUAUUUUAAUAGUAUUUUUUUAAUAAUUAAAUUAUUUUGUGGUUUUUUUUUAAUUAUUACCUCACAAUAGGCUACCAAUUAUUUGAUUCAAUUUAUCUAUUUCUAAACAAGACGUGUAAUGCCGAUUAUAAAAAGGAUAUUUCACACGUGGAUAAUAAUGUGAUUAAAUUAGUUGUCAAAUGAUUGUUUUUUUUGUUGUUGUAACAAAUGAUAUUAUCUAUACUAAGGGGGAGGAAUGUGAGUUUAGCCUCACAAUGGGCUAGCAACAAUGUGAUUCAAUCAGUUGUUUAUUAAAUAUUAUUUUAUCUAUUUUAAACACGUUCAAAAAAUCUUAAGAGGCUUGUAAUGCCGGUUAUAAAAAAAGUCUUUCGCACUCGUAUAAUAAUUUGAUUAAAUUAUUUGUUAAAUGAUUAUUUUUUUUAUUAACAAACGAUAUUAUCUACAUUAAGAGGAAUGAGGUGGGCUUAGCCUCACAAUGGGCUAGCAAUAAUGUGAUUCAAUCAAUUGUUUAUUAAAUAUUAUUUUCUCUAUUCUUAAUGUAAAAUUUAUAGAGAUCGAUUUUAUUAUGUGAAUUCAACUGCUUUAAUUGGUUUAUGAGGGGUUUCUUCUAGCAUGAUAUAAGAUUAUUCAUUUACUUCAAAUAUUUGACUUUCCUUUUGUCAAUUUACACACAUAUAUACAUUUAAAACGUAUAAGUCGCGCAUAGCACGUUGUGAUUCAAAAAAUAUCUUCUGCACGUUCGUGAGCGCAUGCAUAGAAGCUAGUUUUUAUUAUCUUUUAAAUUGUUAAUCUUUAUUUCAAUUUGGCCCUUAUAUUUUAAAUUAUCUCUACUCCUUUUUUCAAGGAUUUUUACUUCUCUUUUUAAAUAUCCAUUGCUAGUUUGAAUUUCUCCCUUUUGAAUUCCAAAAAGAUGGGCAUCCGCCCAUUUUCAACCUGCACACGAAAUCAAACACAUAGACAAAGUAAGUAACACUAAUGACAUGUUUACGUAAGGGUAAUCGGAAUAAAGAAAGGGAAUUGAAUUCCGAUUACGGAGUAUUCCGGUGUUUACUAAAUAUUAAGGAAUCAAAAAAGUGGUGGAGCCCACACGAAACAAGGAAUCCAAUUCCUGAAAUUGGAGGAACCGGAUUCCCUAGUUUUGUGAGGUAUUUGAAUUCCCUAAGGGCAAGGGAAUCAGGAAUGCAUCUUUUAUUCCAAUUAUGCCCUCACUUGUUUCUUAUUAUCCCAACAUUGCCUUUCAUUUGACACUCAUUAUGUCAUUUUUAAUAAAUAAAUAAAACCUAUUUAUAUUUUUUUAUAUAGAUAAUUUUAUUAUAUAAAUUUAAUUAAGAAUUUAAUUUAAUUAAUUAGUAUGAAAAUAAUUUAUUUAUGUAAGGGCAAUUUAAGAGGUUGCACUUGGUGCGAUGGCAAGUGCCUUCGCCCAUGAGCGGUAGGUCUCGGGUUCGAGACUUGGGAGCAGCCUCUCCAUAAAAUGGGGGUAAGGCUAGCCGACAUUCAUCUCUUCCAGACCAUGCGUAAAGCGGGAGUCUUGUGCACUGGGUACGACCUUUUAUGUAAGGGCAAUUUAGUCAUCAACUUAGUUUUCAUUCCGAUUGAAGUGAAUUAGUAAACAACUUAUAUAGACUCAAUAUCAUUUUUGCCAUCUUUUAAUAAAUAAAUAAAACCUAUUUAUACAUGCUUAUAUAGAUGAAUUUUAUUAUAUAAAUUUAAUUAAGAAUUUAAUUAAAUUAAUUAGUAUGAAAAUAAUUUAUUUAUGUAAGGGCAAUAUAGUAAUCAACCUAGUUUUCAUUCCGAUUGAAAUGAAUUAGUAAACAACUUAUAUGGACUCAACAUCAUUCCUACUCCGAUUCCUGACAGUUUUAGUAAACAACUUCAACAGGAAUCUGAUUCUGAUUCCACCUCAUUUCAAUUCCUCCUCAAUCCAAUUCCCCCUCAAUCUAAUUCCUCUCAAUUUGAUUACGGAUUAGUAAACACGCCAUAAAAUUUGUUGACGUAGGGUGUGUGGUCCAGGUAGUCGUAGUACAUUGGAUCACAUCCAUCACGUGCCAACGAAAACGGAUCUCUAUUGAAAUGCCGCAAUAUUAUAUGAAAAAUGUUAAGAAGAUUUUGUUGACGUAGGGUGUGUGGUCCAGGUAGUACAUUGGAUCACAUCCAUCACGUGCCAACGAAAACGGAUCUCUAUUGAAAUGCCGCAAUAUUAUAUGAAAAAUGUUAAGAAGAUUUUUUUUAAAAUGAAAUUAUAUAUAAAUUUCUGUUACUUCAUAAUUUAACGUUAAUUUUUGUGCAAAUAUUAUAGAACAUUGUGCAAAAAAUGAUGGGUUAAAAAGUUCACACAAAGUCACACUUUACGAGAAUAUUCUUAACAUUUUUUUAUGUUAUAUUGUACACAAACUAGAAAAUAUUAUAUAAGUUUAAAUAAUAAAGAUAAAGCCACGUACAGCCCUCGAAGAAAUAUCACACUUUUCACUAAUCAGCUUGAUGCUCCUUAAGUACUCAUGAGUUUUUUUGUUAUUGUUUUUUUACUAAUAAGUUUAUAAUAAUAAAAAUACCAAAUUAUAUUGUCAGACAACGUUGAAUAUGUAGGUUCAUAUGUUAAUUAUUUGAGGGGUUCUUUUAGGGCCAAUAAAAUAUAAGCAACGCCAACUUCGAAAAGGAACUACAAAAGAAACAACUUGUGAUGAUUACAAGAAUGACUCUGCACUUAAAACUACCAACGAAGUCAUUAAUUGUGUAUGUACCAUACUUCACCAAUCCCGAAACUACUGAGUACCGGUCAACGUUAUACCGUCAAUGACCCAGAAGAAUUUCCCUCCAACCAGGAAGCCAAUCGUAGCACGACACGUGUCGACAUCAGAAGCCAAUCAUAGCGCGACAAUGUCAACAUCAGAAGGCAAUCAUAACACGACAUGUGUCAAUGUCAGAAUGAAACUAGAAAGUCUCUUCUAUAAAUAUAGAUCAUUCUUUCACAAUAUUUCAUAAUGUCAUUUGUACUAAAUCAUUCACUUGUACUCACUAAAUGAGAGCUUGAACCUAUGUACUUGUGUAAAUCAUUUGCAAUUAAUGAGAACUCCUCUACUCCGUGGACGUAGCCAAUCUGGGUGAACCAUGUACAUCUUGUUUUUGCUUCUCUAUCUCUAUCCAUUUACAUACUUAUCCAUACUAGUGACCAGAGCAAUCUAGCGAAGGUCACAAACUUAACACUUUCUGUUGUACCAAAGUCCUCACUUAUUUUGUGCAUUAACAAAUUGCAUUAUGAUAAAUUGUACCAACGUCACCAUGAGACAUGAAAGAAAGACUCAAGCUCAAAAAGAAAAAUCUAACAUGGACGAAAGUCGCACUAUCUAUUAUAUAUCAAGCGAAUAGGGCAAUGAAUAGUGCCAAUUUGGUGUCACAGCUUUGACAAAAUAUUAGGACAAAAUUGCCCCUCAACCAAAACAAAUCCAAAAACAGCCCAAUAUAAUAUAUCAAAUAAUGCAGGGGUAAUUUGGUCAUCAUAAAAUAUAAUAUAAAUAUAAGUGGGAAGAGAGAAAAGAAUAAAAAAAAUAAAAAGAUGAGUAAAAGUUGAUGGUGCCCUCGUAAGGGGGAAAGAAAAAUAUAAUUAAAAGGAAAAUCAUGAAUAUUUUGUUCAAAACAUCUUACGAGGCGCGUAGUGCCAGUGAUAAAUUAGUACAUUUAAAAAAAAAAAUUAGUACCUUAUAAUAUGGGUGGGCACGAGCCGGGCCGGGUAUCACAAAUAUGAUCACUGAAACCGGACCUAACUCGGCAAAUUUGAUCACUGGAACCAGACCUAACUCGGCCCGUUUGAAAUGGCCCGGUUCGGGAUGGGUCCACGGGUCAUUUUUUCCGGUUUUGAACCCCUCCCGAACUCGCCAUCAUCCAGAAUCCUAGAUCCUAUAUCUUCGACUCUGAUACCAGAACCAAAACCUAAUUGUUUUAAAACCUCAAUUCUCAAACCAAACAAACAAACAAAAAAAAUCAAAAAAUUAGAAGGUUGGGGGAGAGAGAGAUCAAGAGGGAGGAGGUUGAGAAUCGACAAAUCCAAGGUGUGAGAAAUCGGAGACAUAUGCGUUGGGAGAGAGAGAGAGACUAGGGGAGAGAGAGAUCGAGAUGGAUGAGGUUGAGAAUCGACAGAUCCAAGGUGUGAGAAAUCGGAGACACAUGCAUUGGGAGAGAGAGAGAGAUUGGGGGGGAGAGAGAUCGAGAUGGAGGAGGUUGAGAAUCCACGUAUCCAAUGUGAAAUCGAAGACAAAGGUGUCGGGAGAGAGACUGGGGGAGUGAGAGAGGGAGGAGACUGGGUAGAGGAGAGUGACGAGAGCAUUCGAGAAGGUGUGAGACACUGGUGGAGGUUGCGGUGGGGUGUGGGUGUGGUGUGUCUGCUUCGGGAAUGAGAGUUGCAGAGAUAUGUGUGGUAAAGGUAGGAGAGGCAUGGAGAGUUGCAGAGAUGGGAGAGGAAUGAAGAGUUGCAAAUAUGGGAGAGAAUGAUCAAGAUAAGAGAGAGUGAGUGAGCCAAGGUGACAAUGUUCUCGAGAUUGAGAACUGUCACGGGAUGCCUGGGAGACAGUAAUCUUUUCAAAAUUGGGAUGUUACACAAACGGGACCCCGGGUACCCAUUUUUUUUAUAAUUUUGGACUCAGCCCACCCCUAAAAUUCUAAAGCCCUGCCCUGCCCCGCCCCGUUUCUCUUUUUAAAAAUUAAGAACCAUCCCGUACCCGCCUCGACCCGCGGUUCCUGUACCCGUUUGCCCACCCCUACCUUAUAAUAGACUAGCAAUAAUGUGAUUCAAUCAGAUGUUGUGAAUAGUGAUUUUGGUGUCACCAAACUUCAACAAAAAUAUUUAGACAAGAUAAAAAAACUUCAAAGACAUCCCAAAAUAAUGCAUCAAAUAAGGCAGUUUCGUCAUUUUAAUAGUGAUUCACAAUAAGCUAGCAAUAAUGUAAUUUAAUUUCUCUAUUUUUAAACACGUUCAAAACAUUUUAAGAGGCGUGUAAUGCCGGUUAUAAAAAAGGCAUUUCACAUGCGGAUAAUAAUAUGAUUAAAUAAGUUGUCAAAUGAUUGUUUUUUUUUUCUUUUCAACAAACAAUAUUAUCUAUACUAAAGGAAGGGGGUGGGCUUAGCCUCACAAUGAGUUAACAAUAAUGUGAUUCAAUCAGUUGUUUAUUCAAUAUUAUUUUCUCUAUUUUUAAACACUUUCAAAACAUUGUAAGAAGCGUGUAAUGCCGGUUAUAAAAAAAGUCUUUCGCACGCGGAUAAUAAUGUGAUUAAAUUAAUUGUCAAAUGACUGUUUUUUUUUUUUUUUUUUACAAACGAUAUUAUCUACACUAAGGGGGAAGAGGGUAGGCUUAGUCUCACAAUGGGCUAGUAAUAAUGUAAUUCAAUCAAUUAUUUAUUAAAUAUUAUUUUCUCUAUUCUUAAUGUAAAUUCUAUAGAGACCGAUUUUAUUAUGUGAAUUCAGUUGCUUAAUUGAUUUAUGAGGGAUUUCUUCUAGCAUGAUCUAAAAGUAUUCAUUUACUUCAAAUAUUUGACUUUCCUUUUGUCAAUUUACACAUAUAAAUACAUUUAAAACGUAUAAGUCGAGCAUAGCACGUUGUGAUUCAAUGAAGGCUAGUAAUCUAUAAAACCCACAUCAUAAAAAUUCAACUUCAUCUCUUGCCAAACCCACACUACUCAAAACAACCACAGAUUGAAGAUUUUGAUAGAAAAAUUGGAUUGAAAAAGGAUAAAAAAAUAAUUGAUAGAGAACUCAAAAAUAAGCAAGCUUAAGCACGAACUUAAUCACCACAAAAGGGACUAAAAAAAUUAGUAUGUCAUCAAUGUGUGAUAAAAAAAAUCACUUGGUGGCUUAACCACAACAGUUUACCUUUUUGAGGACCAAAAAGACUUACAGAGUCACUUCAGCAUCUCUUUAACCAAUAUUGUGUGAUUUAUACGUUUCAAGAAUCUAUCUCAAAACAUACCGCAAAUAAAAUAUGAGUCUGAAAUACAUUUUUAAUCAGUGGGUCAUCCCGAAGCAGUUAUAGACCAUUAUUCAAUGUAUAAAAAUCACAAGUGCUAGACCAAUUCCAGGGCAGAGUUUUUUUGUAAGGUUAUUUUCGUUGGACCAGACCAAUUCCAGGGCAGAGUUUUUUUGUAAGUUAUUUUCGUUGGACCAGACCAAUUCCAGGGCAGAGUUUUUUUGUAAGGUUAUUUUCGUUGGACCAAUGAUAUUAAAAUUAUGCAUAGAUCACACAGAAGACAAUCCUAUCUUACUUGCAAGUUGCAUCGAACAGACAAGUAAAGGGUCCAAACCAACCAUGUCAUAAAUAAUCAAGUUCUUCAUAAUGGAUUUGGAUCCUCUCCUGAACUAAUGGAGGGGAUCCUCCUGACUAGUUAUUAUGGGCCAUUAGAUUUUUAUCCAACGGCUAUAAAUAGAGAAGCCACUUUAAAGUUAUAAUAAUUAUAACCGUUAGAUUUUUAUUUAAUGGUUCAUGAUAACUGGUCAGGAGGAUCCUCUCCAUUAUCUCCAGAGAGGAUCCAAAUCCCUUCAGAAUAACCAAAUUCGUCGAGAAAAACGUGGGACCGUGCAAUUUAACGACUUGAUCGUUCUUUAAUAAAUUGUAUAUAGACAAUAAAAUAUUAUGGGAUAAGUUUAAAUAAUAAGUAUAAAGCCAUCUCGAAAGUCGUCGAAGAAAUAUCACACUAUUCACGAAUCAGCUUGAUUGCUCCUUAAUUCAACAUUUGACUAAUGAGUUUAUAAUAUUAAAAAUAAUAAAUUAUAAUAUCAGACAACGUGGCAUAUGCGGGAUCAUAUGUUAAUUAUUUGAGGUUUCUUUGAGGGUGACCCAACUUGUUAUAAAAAUCACAAGCGCUAGAUCAAUUCCAGUUUAGAGUGUUUUUUGUAAGGUCAUUUUCUUGGGGGUAGUGAUAUUAAAUUACAUGGAAGACAACCUCAUCUACUUGUAAGUUGCAACGAACAGACAAGGAAGGGUUGAAUGUCUCAUUUUUCUAUCUUUAAUCAACCACGUCACUCUUAAUUAAAUAGAAAAGUAAUCAAUCACGUAAUUGACGAGUGAGAAAAGUCUUCCAAAAACUACAUAAUGUAGCACCAAUAUGAAUAAUUGCUAUAAAAAAAAAGCACAAAUGAAGCAACCUUAGGAGAACACCAAAGCAGCAGUUGCUGCCUUUUCCAAAUGGUUCCCCCGUUCUUCUAAAAAAAACUCUUAAACUACCAAGGUUUUGUUUUCAUGUGGUAGAAACAUGGAAACUCGUAAAUAACUAAUUAUUUAUAUUAUUACACGUAUUAAUUAUGUUUAAAAGAUAAAAUUAAAUAUAUGCGGGUCGGUUUGGUUAAUUGCACCCUAAGAAUUUUGAUAAUCGAUUAAGGUCAGUGCAGUUUGGUUUAGCCAUCGAAUUUUUUUUUUUAAAAGCCCAAACCAAACCAAACCGCCAGUGCAAUUUGGGCGGUUUAGUUGGUUUUUUAUUUUUUUAAUGCCCAGCCCUAUGUUCUACGUAGAACCCGACAUAAUUUUUUCUCUCAAUAACUAAGAUCCACAUAAGCAAAUUCAUCAAUUAUACUUUACUUAAAAUUUUUUUUUUACAUUUUCAAAUGCUUCAAAUAUUCCUAUUGCAUGUUUGAUGUACACAAUUAAUUCUAUAUGGGCUCUUUUAGGUUUGAUUAUCAUCAAAGAUAAAUUUGAAUCAUAUUAUUACAAACCCAUUGUAAGGCUUAGCUCACUCCCCCACCCUUUUAAUGUAGAUAAUAUUGUUUGCUUAAAAACAAAACAACAAUCUAUCUUUUACCUUUUAGUUGGUCAUAAUUUUUUCAUUUCACCCCUCAACAUACCUCAGAGAUAAAAAGUUACCUAUUUCAAUACAAUCAUACGUACUAAACGAUCCCAUAUUACUCCUAUAUAUACGUGUGUGUAUGACAAGGCGAUAAAUCAACUUAAGCCUUUGCCCAGUUCAUUGCUCAGUUCAGUAAAAAUCAUUUUGUCUCUAGCUUUCUAAUUAUUGAGUUGCAAAAAUGGAUUCUCUCCCAUAUGUAAACUCUAUCACUGCUGGCUUGUUCACAGUAAUCAUCGUGUUCUAUUACUUGUCACGAAGAUGGAGAGCUGCAAAUCACAAGCGCAAAUUAUCACCACCUGAAGCCAAGGGCGGUUGGCCUAUAUUUGGUCACCUUCCUUUGUUUGGAGGCUCCAUACCUCCUCACUUAACUUUGGGAGCCAUGGCGGACAAGUACGGACCCAUUUUCACUAUCCGCCUUGGCGUCCAUCCGUCGUUGGUGAUAAGCAGCAGUGAGAUCGCAAAAGAAUGCUUCACAACCAAAGACUUGAGCAUAAUCUCACGCCCAAGGAUGGUGGUUCUAGACCACGUUAGCUACGACUACGCCAUGUUUGGGUUCGGACCAGGUGGACCCUUUUGGCGAGAAAUUCGCAAGCUAGUCACCUUGGAGUUGCUCUCAGUCCGGAAGGUUGAGCUGCUCAAGCACAUUCGAGUGUCGGAAGUGGCUACUUUCUUAAAAGAAUUGCACGAACUUUGGAGUACAAAGAAAAAGGAGGGCUCGAAAGAUGGAGUGGUUGUAGAGCUAAAGCAAU